AAGUUUGGGCUGCCUAUUAACUCUCACUAAGACACGUGCACUCAAAGAAGGCAAGCAAAAUAUUUUUGGAGGGAAAAUGAGAUCAACUUGGCUGCAUAAGAAUUAGACAGAGAAUAAACUUUCCAAAAUGGAAAACACACAAAAAGAUAGAAGGGGUGCAGGAGAAUUUUUUGGAGGGUCUUCGUGAAAAGAAAAAGAACUCGUGUUCAUUGGUCUUUUGAAGGUUUUGAAGAUAGUUUAAAGCCGAGCAAUUGGAGUGCAGAUUGCCAGGUAUGUUCCCUGAGAUUUUGUUAUUGUUGUUUACGUUUUACUGCUCUUGAUUCUCUGGUUGUUUCUGAGAAUUUAUUCUUGCUGUUUGGAGUGGACGCUAAGGGCCACAGUUUGUUUUGUUAAGACUGGUUGCUUGCAUAUUUACACUAUUUUAGUUUUCUUUUCUUAUUUUUUUUUUUUUUGUCUUUGGUUCCUUCUGAAAGUAAUUUGAAUAUGGGUCCAUCUUUGAACUUGAUGCUAGAAGCCAUGCCCCUGUUUUUGUUCAAAUCUUAUUUAGAAUCACUCCCCUAUUCUAAGCUCAUGGAUUGAAGCAUAAAAUUGUGGCUUUUGUUGGUUUGUUUUUCUUCCACUUUUUGUUUUCCUCUAUUUCUGGUCCACAUCCCAACAAGUUCCACUCCCGGUCUUCAAAAUUUGCUCUUUGUUUUGAAAUUGAAAACUGAAGAUUGUGUGAAGGGAAACUUUCUUUUUCUGCACGAGAAGAAUGUAUUGGGAACUCUUAUAGAAGAUGUGUCAGAAUCAUCAGAUGACACAGAUGCCAUCACAAGAAGGCUAUCAAUUCUCAUUUGAGUUCCUGACCAGUGUUUCUUGAAAUAUGUUUGACUUCAUUGAAAAGCUUAAAAUAUUUCUGAAGGGUAUUGAGAUGACUGAGAAACAUAGUUUUUUUUUUCAGAAAGUUUGGUGUGGAAAAGUUUGAUCCAGCAAGUGAGCAAUUUGAUCUUCUUAGACAUAAUGUGGUAUUCCAAAUACCAGAUCUUUCUAAGCCUUUUGAUACUGUUGAUGUGGUUCUAAAGACUGCGAACCAGAUGCAGCCUGGAUCAUUUAACUUCAGUAAUGGUUCUAAACAGUUCUACAGAGGGAUACAUGAAUCAGAAAGCAAGGAAAAUGACUUGACAGCCUAUGUAAACAACUAGUUUCGAGAGAUGGCAAUAUUGGGAGCAUUGAAAAGAAGUUCCUUUGCAGUUGAGGAUUCUCCUUCUUCAACAGAUAUAACAGGGUUGUUGUCUUUUGCAUGAACAUCAUCAACUCCAGGUAUGAGGUGGAAGAAAAAUUUAAAAAGGUGUAGGAGAGUGACUUGGAUGAUGGAAGGAAAAGCAUAGUAGAAGGGAGAGAAGAAAAGCUAGAGAGGAAAGAGGGCUGACCAGGCAUUCUAGAGCAAGGAAGAAAAUCAGAGAGCAAGAGAGAAGAAGAGUAGAACAGAAGAGACGGUUCAUAGGGUUUUUGGCUAGUCUUGGGAGUAGGAGCAGCAAGCCUGAAGCCCACCACACCUUGCUGCAGAGGAGACUUUCAGGUAUGGCUGUUAUGGGUUUCCCGCUUAUGUCAUCUUUCAUGCUUCUCCCACCCCUUUCCCAAAUGAUUUUUACAUUGCUUGUUGGGUUGUUAUGGAUUGGUUAUUGUUGCGUUAAUCUUUCUUUUCUCUGGUUCCAUUAAGGAAAUAUUUGACUAUGCUUCGGUUUACUGUUUCAUACUUGAAGAGCUUGCUGCAUUUUGUGCUUUUCUUUUAAGACAUUUGCCAUGGAUUAGCCCACUGAUUAUUAAACCCAUGGAUAAAAUAAUGAAAUGGGUUCAGCAUAUUUGGUGAAUGUUUUAUGCCCUGCUCCUUUUCCUUGUCUUUUGCUCUUUCCCUGUAUUCCUCUGUUUCCAGUUCCUUUGAGUAAGUUUGAGAUGUCAUUAUUGGGAGGCUUGCUCUUGGCAAGUAUUGAGGUUGAUCCUGUUAUGGAUAUCUGCAUAAAGCCACUAGAAGGAUGGAAGAUCAGUGUAGUUACAUAGUAUAUAUGCUCUAGAUUGUGGGAUUUGAAAUCUGUGCUGCUGCAUUGCUGGGGAUACUGACACAGGGCAUAAUACCUUUGAGAACGGAAAUCUAAAAGUUUCAGACUUUGAAUGAGCGCUUUUGCGGAACCUAAACGCCAAGAUGAUUGGUUUCACACAACUAAAAGGCACACACCAGGAGCUUCAAGUUCAGAAUCUUGACUAUGCCAUUUCCUAUGACCCCUUCCUCCAUUCCUUACCUUUCUUCAUUCAAGCACUAGCUUCUGGAAGAUACCCAAGUCAUAAUAUGUUCCCUUCUGUGCUAAAAUCAUGCACUUUGAUGAAAAACUUGAGUUUCAGUGGUGCAUAGAAAUUUUGUGAUUCCGAGAUGAUCAGUGGAAUUCUUGAACAAAGGAGAUGUUGUGGGAGAUGGUAACAUAUGUUUUCCAGCUUGGUUAUAGAUUGUUAAAUGUGAAGCACAGUUAAAAUCUGAUCCUGGAUGACCGGUAGUAGCGGGAUGGCAAAGCUGGUGGCAAUCCAACAUUGACUCUUUCCACAAACACAAAUAUCUUUCACCAACAAAGACCUCCCCAUGUGCAUAUGAUCCAUGCAUGCAUGACCACCCAAAGCCUUCUGAUGAAAUCCUUCUUCAUCAAAUCCAAAUCCUAAGCAUCCAACCCCUUUUCAACGAAACAAUAGCUAAACUUGAAGUUGAAUUGAGCCGCCCUGGAAAGCUAAUUGUUGCUGAUGUUGAAGGAAAGUUAUGCAUGAUCAUGGAAAUCCCUCAAGUCUUUGAUCAGACCAAUAAAGAGCCUCUUGAUGAUGUGUACCUGGUGUUGGAAGUAUCUUCGAAAACAGAGUUCCUGACAUUCCCUAGAGGUAAGUGAGCAGUGAUCAAAAUAUCUCUGAAGAUCAAAAUCUUGGAUAGUCACCAUGGAAGCAUUCUGAAUGCAUUCAACUGCCAUGUGGUUAUUAUCUGAGUUGGCAUUGACAGCCACGGAGCUGCUCUGCAUGCAGUGUAGAAAGGUGUAUUGAUUGGCACCAGCGAUCCUUACAAAAGAGCGGCACGCAAUCCACCAGAAAAGGAAGUCAUGAUCAUAACAGUGGAAAAGACCAACCAUGUUUCUUAAAUGAAGAAGAUUUGCACCUCAGCUAUCAGCUUCUGUUUGUGGAAAACUGAGGAUAAACCCCAAGCAGCCUGAAUAUUAAGAAAAACAUAAGCACUUUGAAAUUUUACAGUGGGGAUAUUGAAAUAAGGUCUUUGCUAGAACCUGAAAUGGUGGGAGUCAUGACACUGCUACUGUUAUUGGUUGUGGGAGGAACAUUAGUGGGUUGCUGAAGCAUGCAAUUUGGAACUCCCAUGCUCAUGUUGAUUCCAUGAAGAAACAACUUGGUUUCGUAUGGCAUUAGCAAUGCAACCUACAGAAAAGAAUAUUUGAACUGAGAUUCCAAGCUGCAAUGACUAUGCUCCGAUCUCUACAUGUGAAGAAGUAUCUCUCGAAGUCGGUUGACUCUAUUAUCUCGAGAUAAUUGUUUGAAAGGAUGCACCUUUUUGUUGGAACAUACACACAAGUACAACAUCUGGGAUAGGUUGUAGUCCAAGGUUGAUUCAAUUGAUGGAUUGUCUUCAAGUAGCCAAGGCUUGGAGAAGGAAAGUAUUUUGGUGGGUAUGACAGAUCAAUCCUAUUUGGCUGGUGUAGAGAAACUAAUGACAGAGCUGUCAUUCUUAUUAAUGAGCCAACUCUAGCGUUUAUGAAGGUACGGAUUCUGAUUACAAGGGUCGUUUAUUGUUUGGGUAUACUCCAGUUCACUCAGAUUCCAUUGUUGGAGAGUCAGGAUUAUCUGUGACAAGCUUUACCCGAUAUCCAUUUGAUGGUGGACAUGCCAAUGGGUAUUUGAUGUUCAUCUUCUCCGUCAUUGCAUGACAUAUGCAAUGGCCAUGGUGAGUCCAGUUUGGGCAACCUCACAGUAGCAUGAUCACGUAUGGUUGCAUGAAAUUGGAGUUUGUCACCGGCUCUAACAAGAAUUGGGGUGAAAUUGCUGAUUCUUAUAGACGGGCAUCAGGGUUAUACACUAAAUAUGGUAGAUCACAACCUGCACCAAAUGUUCUGGCAAAGGAUGCUCGUGUUCUAGAAGGCGUUGAUUUGGGCAAAGCCAUACAACUCUACAAAGAUGCUUGUGUUAUGCCAGGGUCUGUGCUUCUCAAGAGCAACUCGAUUCUGUUGAAUCCGUCACCCCUCACUAUACCCUGGAUUAAUGAAAGUGGCACACCCAGGGUACAAAAAGAUGCUCCUAUUUCCACCAAGGUAGUGAAAGCAAGCACCCUUAAGCAGAAACAGGUUUCUCCUCCAAAAAUUUGAUGGCAUGAGCUUGGGUCAUCCAACUCCUUGACAAUCCUGAAAAGUGGCUUUUCAGUGAGCUGUAGCAGUGAAGACAAUACCGAUGCUGGUUAUAAUAUAAGUCUGUCUAGUGAAGAAGAGUGUAACUUCUUCCAGAGCAGGUGGCUGUGUCCAUGAAUUACACACCAAGGGUUUCAUUUGUUUCAUCGAAACUCCUGAGAGGAGUGGGCAAAUCUCUAUUUACAAGCUGAAGUCAUGAAGCCCUAUAAUUCAGAAGUGCAAUAGACUGGAGAGAAAAGUAGUGUUGUUUCUCAUAUUGACCAUGAGGCACAGAGCAUCAUAACUGAAAAGGAACAGGAAGUUCAAAUCUCACAGGUUACUGAAGUCGAGCCUGAAAGGAUGCCCAAAACUGAGAAACUCCAGGAUGAAAUUAAGCUGAUUUCUCGUGCUAAACUUGAGUCCAGCAGAGCAAUUUUCAAAUUUUCUUCUCAUUCACCAGUCUCGCCCUGUUUCAGAGGUUUUAGAGAGAGUUAGCAGUCAGAUCACUGUGUGGAAAGAGAAGUGACACAAAUGAAAGGAGCGCCGCAGUGGAGAAAUUGAUUGCGUCUCUUGAACAAAAAUUGAUAAAGAUUUAAUGGCAGUGUCCGAGAUUAGACUACAACUCAGAGAUAGGUUCAGCAAAAAAGUUCAGCUUCAGAUCAGGUGGACUUUGCCUCACCAAUGACAGAACAGAUGGAUACCACCCUAUCAUCAACUGGUCAGAUGGAUCUCACAUAGCCAGCAUUAGUUAAAGAAGAUUCCUUUCCUGCAACAACAGACAAGAAAACUCCAAAAUUGUUGAAUUAAAAAGAGCAGUCCAUGUUUAUCAGACUUUGGUGAUCAGAAUUGUUCCUCUGCUUCAACUUUAUGCUACACUGCCUCUGGAAAACAGUGAAUCAAAAUGACAAUUAGCCAAAUUGUUGUAGCAAAAGUUGGUCCUGGAUGUGCAACUUCAGAAUACCUAGUCACAGGUCACAUGCUUGCCUAUACCUGGCCUCACUCCUAUUCGGCUUGCAUAAUCACCUAUCCCCCUGAUGCUUUUCUUUCCCUAAUGAAUUUACACAUUUUAAAUCUGGAUUUCAAAAUUUUUUUUGUCAAAAUAAUUCCGGUUUUCCAAAAAUUUUGUCCUUAGGAGUUUCUUGGUUAAUAAAAUCCAGAUUUUAAUAAACCUGCUGCCAUUUUCUUUUCCGACAUGCAUCUUCUUAUUUUCUCUGAUUUUCUCGUUUUUUAAAUAAGCAUGAAUAAACUUCAUGAUUCCCAAUGGAAUUCAUAGAAUUAAAUCAUGCAAAAGUAAAUUGGGCCUUGGUGGGGGCCCAACAUCCAUGAUACUCCUUUUACAUUGAUUCUAAUAAGAUAAUUGUUUGAUGAUUGAUUGAUUUUGAUUCCUCUCUAUGAUAUACAUGAGUUUGUUUUAUACUUAUUGUCGAGCUAACCUUGUAUUCCAUAGAGGCGUUGAUGCUUGCUAACCAGGUACGCUCUCUCUAACCUCCAAUUUCGAAAUUCCAUGAAUUUGUAUGUUAUUGAGGACUAUAACCAUGUUUGAUAGUAUCUUUGGAUUCCUUGAUGUUUGUUUGAUUUGCUCUGAUAAAAAUAUAUGUUGUGUGCUUUAUUUCUGAGCUAACUUUGAUGUCUUAUGAUAGCGCUUGACAAGCAGUCCAGGUACACACCCUAAUUCUCCUUUAUGAUUGUGAUUUGAUUUCUUAUUUUGCAUGCUAGUUUAGAAAUCACCUUAGCCUACUUAGGUAUUCAUAAUCAACUGAUUAAUUGCUAUAUUUCCCUCAACUUAGCCAGUAGAGACCUCCCAAGCAUCCAACCCCUUUUUAACGAAACAAUAACUAAACUUGAAGUUGAAUUGAGCCGCCCUGGAAAGCUAAUUGUUGCUGAUGUUGAAGGAAAGUUAUGCAUGAUCAUGGAAAUCCCUCAAGUCUUUGAUCAGACCAAUAAAGAGCCUCUUGAUGAUGUGUACCUGGUGUUGGAAGUAUCUUCGAAAACAGAGUUCCUGACAUUCCCCAGAAGUAAAUGAGCAGUGAUCAAAAUAUCUCUGAAGAUCAAAAUCUUGGAUAGUCACCAUGGAAGCAUUCUGAAUGCAUUCAACUGCCAUGUGGUUAUUAUCUGAGUUGGCAUUGACAGCCACGGAGUUGCUCUGCAUGCAGUGUAGAAAGGUGUAUUGAUUGGCACCAACGAUCCUUACAAAAGAGCGGCACGCAAUCCACCAGAAAAGGAAGUCAUGAUCAUAACAGUGGAAAAGACCAACCAUGUUUCUUAAAUGAAGAAGAUUUGCACCUCAGCUAUCAGCUUCUGUUUGUGGAAAACUGAGGAUAAACCCCAAGCAGCCUGAAUAUUAAGAAAAACAUAAGCACUUUGAAAUUUUACAGUGGGGAUAUUGAAAUAAGGUCUUUGCUAGAACUUGAAAUGGUGGGAGUCAUGACACUGCUACUGUUAUUGGUUGUGGGAGGAACAUUAGUGGGUUGCUGAAGCAUGCAAUUUGGAACUCCCAUGCUCAUGCUGAUUCCAUGAAGAAACAACUUGGUUUCGUAUGGCAUUAGCAAUGCAACCUACAGAAAAGAAUAUUUGAACUGAGAUUCCAAGCUGCAAUGACUAUGCUCCGAUCUCUACAUUUCUUUCUUUGUGGGUGAGAAUAGUGUAAUUUCCAUUUCUGGUCUUUUCUUGUGAUCUCGGCUUCUUUGGCAAUCAUUUCUAAGCAUAUCACUGGAUUUUUCAGGUUUCUCGGAAACAAGAGAAGUUUAUGAGGAAGUACUUCUUAUCUAAGUUUACUUCGUAUUCCCUUUUGUCUGCUAUAUCGCAAUUUUCAUUAUCUCUAUUAUGUGUUGGUAUUAUUUGUUCAUUUGUGUUAUUUUUUGUGCGCAUUUGUGUUUUGUUUGUUGUUUGUGAUUUCUUUGAUUUUGGGUGAGAAGUUCUUGAUUUCCUUUUCGUAGCAUUUUUCCAAGGAAUGUUAGCUUCCUUUUCUCGUCUUUUCAUUUAAUGUCGGUUUCUUAGCCCACAAUUUAUAAUCGUAUAACUUCAUUUUUUGAGGUUAUUCGGGAGCAGGUGAAGUGUAUGAAGAAAUAAUUUUUUGGUAAGUUUCAUUCGAAUUCUCCCAUAUCACAUCGCUCGUUAUGUUUGGGUAUUAUUUUUUGAAUUUAUGUAUACGUUAUAUAAUUUAUUUAGAAUAUUUUGAUUUCUGUGUUUGGUUGUGGGUUUUAUGUGUGGCUUUUUAGUUGUCAUUUAUUUGAUUGUUUGUGAGAAGUAUUAGAUAUCCUUUGAACAGUGUUUUUCCUUGGGAUGUUAUUUUUAUUUUCUCCUCUUUUCAUCUGAUCUCAGUGUCUUGUCCAACCAUUAAUAAGCAUAUAAGUGGAUUUUUAAUGAUUCUCAGGAGAAGGAGAAGUGUGUGAGGAAAGUCUUCUUAGAUAGGUUUUCUUCGUAUUCCCUAUUCUUUCAUAUAUCACAUUGUUCAAUAUAUCUGUUAUGUUUGGGUAUGAUUUGUUGACUUGAUCUAUGCAUUAUUGAAUUAAGUUCGAAUAUGUUCAUUAUGUUUUGGUGUGUGCGCUUUACGUUUCAUUUUUUAUUUCUCAAUUCUUUCUUUGUGGGUGAGAAUAGUGUAAUUUGUAUUUCUGGUAUUUUCAAGUGAUCUCGGCUUCUUCGGCAAGCAUUUCUAAGCAAAUCACUGGACUUUUCAGGUUUCUCGGAAGCAAGAGAAGUUUAUGAGGAAGUACUUCUUAUCAAAGUUUACUUCGUAUUCCCUUCUUUCUGCUAUAUCACAAUUUUCAUUAUCUCUGUUAUGUGGUUGUAUUAUUUGUUGAUUUGUGUUAUUUUUUGUGUGCAUUUGUGUUUUGUUUGUUGUUUGUGAUUUCUUUGAUUUUGGGUGAGAAGUUGUUGAUUUCCUUUUUGUAGCAUUUUUCCAUGGAAUGUUAGUUUCCUUUUCUCGUCUUUUCAUUUAAUGUCGGUUUCUAAACCCACAAUUUAUAACCGUAUAACUUCAUUUUUUCAGGUUAUUCGGGAGCAGGUGAAGUGUAUGAAGAAAUACUUUUUUGGUAAGUUUCAUUCGAAUUCUCCCAUCUCACAUCGCUCGUUAUGUUUGUUGUUAUGUUUGGGUAUUAUUUUUUGACUUUAUAUAUGCGUUAUAGAAUUUAUUUAGAAUAUUUUGAUUUCUGUGUUUGGUUGUGGGUUUUAUGUGUGGCUUUUUAUUUGUCAUUUAUUUGAUUGUUUGUGUGAAGUAUUAGAUUUCCUUUGAACUGUGUUUUUCCUUGGGUUGUUAUUUUUAUUUUCUCGUCUUUUCAUCUGAUCUCCGUGUCUUGUCCAACCAUUAAUAAGCAUAUAAGUGGAUUUUUCAGGAUUCUCGGGAGCAGGAGAAAUGUGUGAGGAAAGUCUUCUUAGAUAAGUUUUCUUCGUAUUCCUUGUUUUUUCAUAUAUCUGUUAUGUUUGGGUAUGAUUUGUUGAGUUGAUCUAUGCAUUAUUGAAUUAAGUUCGAAUAUGUUCAUUAUGUUUUGGUUUGUGUGCUUUGCAUUUUAUUUGUUAUUUCUCAUUUCUUUCUUUGUGGGUGAGAAUAGUGUAAUUUGUAUUUCUGGUCUUUUCAUGUGAUCUCGGCUUCUUUGGCAACCAUUUCUAAGCAAAUCACUGGACUUUUUAGGUUUCUCGGAAGCAAGAGAAGUUUAUGAGGAAGUACUUCUUAUCUAAGUUUACUUCGUAUUCCCUUUUUUCUGCUAUAUCGCAAUUUUCAUUAUCUCUAUUAUGUGUUGGUAUUAUUUGUUGAUUUGUGUAAUUAUUUGUGCACAUUUGUGUUUUGUUUGUUAUUUGUGAUUUCUUUGAUUAUGGGUGAGAAGUUGUUGAUUGCCUUUUUGUAGCAUUUUUCCAUUGAAUGUUAGUUUCCUUUUCUCGUCUUUUCAUUUAAUGUCGGUUUCUAAGCCCACAAUUUAUAACCGUAUAACUUCAUUUUUUCAGGUUAUUCGGGAGCAGGUGAAGUGUAUGAAGAAAUACUUUUUUGGUAAGUUUCAUUCGAAUUCUCCCAUCUCACAUCGCUCGUUAUGUUUGGGUAUUAUUUUUUGACUUUAUGUAUGCGUUAUAGAAUUUAUUUAGAAUAUUUUGAUUUCUGUGUUUGGUUGUGGGUUUUAUGUGUGGCUUUUUAUUUGUCAUUUAUUUGAUUGUUUGUGUGAAGUAUUAGAUUUCCUUUGAACUGUGUUUUUCCUUGGGAUGUUAUUUUUAUUUUCUCGUCUUUUCAUCUGAUCUCGGUGUCUUGUCCAACCAUUAAUAAGCAUAUAAGUGGAUUUUUCAGGAUUCUCGGGAGCAGGAGAAGUGUGUGAGGAAAGUCUUCUUACAUAAGUUUUCUUCGUAUUCCCUGUUCUUUCAUAUAUCGCAUUGUUCAAUAUAUCUGUUAUGUUUGGGUAUGAUUUGUUGACUUGAUCUAUGCAUUAUUGAAUUAAGUUCGAAUAUGUUCAUUAUGUUUUGGUUCGUGUGCUUUGCGUUUCAUUUUUUAUUUCUCAUUUCUUUCUUUGUGGGUGAGAAUAGUGUAAUAUCCAUUUCUGGUCUUUUCUUGUGAUCUCGGCUUCUUUGGCAAUCAUUUCUAAGCAUAUCACUGGAUUUUUCAGGUUUCUCAGAAGCAAGAGAAGUUUGUGAGGAAGUACUUCUUAUUUAUGUUUACUUCGUAUUCCCUUUUUUCUGCUAUAUCGCAAUUUUCAUUAUCUCUGUUAUGUGUUGGUAUUAUUUGUUGAUUUGUGUUAUUUUUUGUGCGCAUUUGUGUUUUGUUUGUUGUUUGUGAUUUCUUUGAUUUUGGGUGAGAAGUUGUUGAUUUCCUUUUUGUAAAUUUUUUCCAUGGAAUGUUAGUUUCCUUUUCUCGUCUUUUCAUUUAAUGUCGGUUUCUUAGCCCACAAUUUAUAAUCGUAUAACUUCAUUUUUUCAGGUUAUUCGGGAGUAGGUGAAGUGUAUGAAGAAAUACUUUUUUGGUAAGUUUCAUUCGAAUUCUCCCAUAUCACAUCGCUCGUUACGUUUGUUCUGUUUGGGUAUUAUUUUUUUACUUUAUGUAUACGUUAUAUAAUUUAUUUAGAAUAUUUUGAUUUCUGUGUUUGGUUGUGGGUUUUAUGUAUGGCUUUUUAUUUGUCAUUUAUUUGAUUGUUUGUGUGAAGUAUUAGAUUUCCUUUGAACUGUGUUUUUCCUUGGGAUGUAAGUUUUAUUUUCUCGUCUUUUCAUCUGAUCCCGGUGUCUUGUCCCACCAUUAAUAAGCAUAUAAUUGGAUUUUUCAGGAUUCUCAGGAGCAGGAGAAUUGUGUGAGGAAAGUCUUAUUAGAUAAGUUUUCUUCGUAUUCCCUGUUCUUUCAUAUAUCGCAUUGGUCAAUCUAUCUGUUAUGUUUGGGUAUGAUUUGUUGACUUGAUCUAUGCAUUAUUGAAUUCAUUUCGAAUAUGUUCAUUAUAUUUUGGUUUGUGCACAUUACGUUUCAUUUUUUAUUUCUCAUUUCUUUGUGGGUGAGAAUAGUGUAAUUUGUAUUUCUGGUCUUUUCAUGUGAUCUCGGCUUCUUUGGCAACCAUUUCUAAGCAAAUCACUGGACUUUUCAGGUUUCUCGGAAGCAAGAGAAGUUUAUGAGGAAGUACUUCUUAUCUAAGUUUACUUCGUAUUCCCUUUUUUCUACUAUAUCGCAAUUUUCAUUAUCUCUGUUAUGUGUUGGUAUUAUUUGUUGAUUUGUGUUAUUUUUUGUGCGCAUUUGUGUUUUGUUUGUUGUUUGUGAUUUCUUUGAUUAUGGGUGAGAAGUUGUUGAUUUCCUUUUUGUAGCAUUUUUCCAUGGAAUGUUAGUUUCCUUUUCUCGUCUUUUCGUUUAAUGUCGGUUUCUAAGCCCACAGUUUAUAACCGUAUAACUUCAUUUUUUUAGGUUAUUCGGGAGCAAGUGAAGUGUCUGAAGAAAUACUUUUUUAGUAAGUUUCAUUCGAAUUCUCCCAUAUCACAUCGCUCAUUAUGUUUGUUAUGUUUGGGUAUUAUUUUUUGACUUUAUGUAUGCGUUAUAGAAUUUAUUUAGAAUAUUUUUAUUUCUGUGUUUGGUUGUGGGUUUUAUGUGUGGCUUUUUAUUUGUCAUUUAUUUGAUUAUUUGUGUGAAGUAUUAGAUUUCCUUUGAAUUGUGUUUUUCCUUGAGAUAUUAUUUUUAUUUUCUCGUCUUUUGAUCUGAUCUUCGUGUCUUGUCCAACCAUUAAUAAGGAUAUAAGUGGAUUUUUCAGGAUUCUCGGGAGCAGGAGAAGUGUGUGAGGAAAGUCUUCUUAGAUAAGUUUUCUUCGUAUUCCUUGUUCUUUCAUAUAUCGCAUUGUUCAAUAUAUCUGUUAUGUUUGGAUAUGAUUUGUUGACUUGAUCUAUGCAUUAUUGAAUUAAGUUCGAAUAUGUGCAUUAUGUUUUGGUUUGUGUGGUUUGCGUUUGAUUUUUUAUUUCUCAUUUCUUUCUUUGUGGGUGAGAAUAGUGUAAUUUCCAUUUCUGGUCUUUUCUUGUGAUCUCGGCUUCUUUGGCAAUCAUUUCUAAGCAUAUCACUGGAUUUUUCAGGUUUCUCGGAAGCAAGAGAAGUUUAUGAGGUAGUACUUCUUAUCUAAGUUUACUUCGUAUUCCCUUUUUUCUGCUAUAUCGCAAUUUUCAUUAUCUCUGUUAUGUGUUGGUAUUAUUUGUUGAUUUGUGUUAUUUUUUGUGUGCAUUUGUGUUUUGUUUGUUGUUUGUGAUUUCUUUGAUUAUGGGUGAGAAGUUUUUGAUUUCCUUUUUGUAGCAUUUUUCAAUGGAAUGUUAGUUUCCUUGUCUCGUCUUUUCAUAUAAUGUCGGUUUCUAAGCCCACAAUUUAUAAUCGUAUAACUUCAUUUUUUCAGGUUAUUCGGGAGCAGGUGAAGUGUAUGAUGAAAUAAUUUUUUGGUAAGUUUCAUUCAAAUUCUCCCAUAUCACAUCGCUCGUUAUGUUUGGGUAUUAUUUUUUGACUUUAUGUAUACGUUAUUUAAUUUAUUUCGAAUAUUUUAAUUUAUGUUUUUGGUUGUUGGUUUUAUGUGUGGCUUUUUAGUUUUCAUUUAUUUGAUUGUUUGUGAGAAGUAUUAGAUUUCCUUUGAACUGUGUUUUUCCUUAGGAUGUUAUUAUUAUUUUUUCGUCUUUUCAUCUGAUUUCAGUGUCUUGUCCAACCAUUAAUAAGCAUAUAAGUGGAUUUUUCAGGAUUCUCAGGAGCAGGAGAAGUGUGUGAGGAAAGUCUUCUUAGAUAUGUUUUCUUCGUAUUCUCUAUUCUUUCAUAUAUCGCAUUGUUCAAUAUACCUGUUAUGUUUGGGUAUGAUUUGUUGAGUUGAUCUAUGCAUUAUUGAAUUCAGUUCGAAUAUGUUCAUUAUGUUUUGGUGUGUGUGCUUUACGUUUCAUUUUUUAUUUCUCAUUUCUUUCUUUGUGGGUGAGAAUAGUGUAAUUUAUAUUUCUGGUCUUUUCAUGUGAUCUCGGCUUCUUUGGCAACCAUUUCUAAGCAAAUCACUGGACUUUUCAGGUUUCUCGGAAGCAAGAGAAGUUUAUGAGGAAGUACUUCUGAUCUAUGUUUACUUCGUAUUCCCUUUUUUCUACUAUAUCGCAAUUUUCAUUAUCUCUGUUAUGCGUUCGUAUUAUUUGUUUAUUUGUGUUAUUUUUUGUGCGCAUUUGUAUUUUUUUGUUGUUUGUGAUUUCUUUUAUUAUGGGUGAUAAGUUGUUGAUUUCCUUUUUCCAGCAUUUUUCCAUGGAAUGUUAGUUUCCUUUUCUCGUCUUUUCAUUUAAUGUCGGUUUCUAAGCCCACAAUUUAUAACCGUAUAACUUCAUUUUUUCAGGUUAUUCGGGAGCAGGCGAAGUAUAUGAAGAAAUACUUUUUUGGUAAGUUUCAUUCGAAUUCUCCCAUAUCACAUCGCUCGCUAUGUUUGUUAUGUUUGGGUAUUAUUUUUUGACUUUAUGUAUGCGUUAUAGAAUUUAUUUAGAAUAUUUUGAUUUCUGUGCUUGGUUGUGGGUUUUAUGUGUGGCUUUUUAUUUGUCAUUUAUUUGAUUGUUUGUGUGAAGUAUUAGAUUUCCUUUGAACUGUGUUUUUCCUUAGGAUGUUAUUUUGAUUUUCUCGUCUUUUCAUCUGAUCUCCGUUGCUUGUCCAACCAUUAAUAAGCAUAUAAGUGGAUUUUUCAGGAUUCUCGGGAGCAGGAGAACUGUGUGAGGAAAAUCUUCUUAGAUAAGUUUUCUUCGUAUUCCCUGUUCUUUCAUAUAUCGCAUUGUUCAAUAUAUCUGUUAUGUUUGGGUAUGAUUUGUUGACUUGAUAUAUGCAUUAUUGAAUUAAGUUUGAAUAUGUUCAUUAUGUUUUGGUUUGUGUUCUUUGCGUUUUAUUUUUUAUUUCUCAUUUCUUUCUUUGUGGGUGAGAAUUGUGUAAUUUCCAUUUCUGGUCUUUUCUUGUGAUCUCGGCUUGUUUGGCAAUCAUUUCUAAGCAUAUCACUGGAUUUUUAAGGUUUCUCGGAAGCAAGAGAAGUUUAUGAGGAAGUACUUCUUAUCUAAGUUUACUUUGUAUUCCCUUUUGUCUGUUAUAUCGCAAUUUUCAUUAUCUCUGUUAUGUGUUGGUAUUAUUUCUUGAUUUGUGUUAUUUAUUGUGCGCAUUUGUGUUUUAUUUGUUGUUUGUGAUUUCUUUGAUUUUGGGUGAGAAGUUCAUGAUUUCCUUGUUGAAGCAUUUUUCCAAGGAAUGUUAGUUUCCUUUUCUCGUCUUUUCAUUUAAUGUCGGUUUCUUAGCCCACAAUUUAUAACCGUAUAACUUCAUUUUUUCAGGUUAUUCGUGAGCAGGCGAAGUAUAUGAAGAAAUACUUUUUUGGUAAGUUUCAUUCGAAUUCUCCCAUAUCACAUCGCUCGCUAUGUUUGUUAUGUUUGGGUAUUAUUUUUUGACUUUAUGUAUGCGUUAUAGAAUUUAUUUAGAAUAUUUUGAUUUCUGUGCUUGGUUGUGGGUUUUAUGUGUGGCUUUUUAUUUGUCAUUUAUUUGAUUGUUUGUGUGAAGUAUUAGAUUUCCUUUGAACUGUGUUUUUCCUUAGGAUGUUAUUUUGAUUUUCUCGUCUUUUCAUCUGAUCUCCGUUGCUUGUCCAACCAUUAAUAAGCAUAUAAGUGGAUUUUUCAGGAUUCUCGGGAGCAGGAGAACUGUGUGAGGAAAAUCUUCUUAGAUAAGUUUUCUUCGUAUUCCCUGUUCUUUCAUAUAUCGCAUUGUUCAAUAUAUCUGUUAUGUUUGGGUAUGAUUUGUUGACUUGAUAUAUGCAUUAUUGAAUUAAGUUUGAAUAUGUUCAUUAUGUUUUGGUUUGUGUUCUUUGCGUUUGAUUUUUUAUUUCUCAUUUCUUUCUUUGUGGGUGAGAAUUGUGUAAUUUCCAUUUCUGGUCUUUUCUUGUGAUCUCGGCUUGUUUGGCAAUCAUUUCUAAGCAUAUCACUGGAUUUUUAAGGUUUCUCGGAAGCAAGAGAAGUUUAUGAGGAAGUACUUCUUAUCUAAGUUUACUUUGUAUUCCCUUUUGUCUGUUAUAUCGCAAUUUUCAUUAUCUCUGUUAUGUGUUGGUAUUAUUUCUUGAUUUGUGUUAUUUAUUGUGCGCAUUUGUGUUUUAUUUGUUGUUUGUGAUUUCUUUGAUUUUGGGUGAGAAGUUCAUGAUUUCCUUGUUGAAGCAUUUUUCCAAGGAAUGUUAGUUUCCUUUUCUCGUCUUUUCAUUUAAUGUCGGUUUCUUAGCCCACAAUUUAUAACCGUAUAACUUCAUUUUUUCAGGUUAUUCGGGAGCAGGUGAAGUGUAUGAAAAAAUAAUUUUUUGGUAAGUUUCAUUCAAAUUCUCCCAUAUCACAUCGCUCGUUAUGUUUAGGUAUUAUUUUUUGACUUUAUGUAUAUGUUAUAUAAUUUAUUUAGAAUAUUUUGAUUUCUGUGUUUAGUUGUGGGUUUUAUGUGUGGUUUUUAGUUGUCAUUUAUUUGAUUGUUUAUGAGAACUAUUAGAUUUCCUGUGAACUAUGUUUUUCCUUGGAAUGUUAUUUUUAUUUUCACGUCUUUUCAUCUGAUCUCAGUGUCUUGUCCAACCCAUAAUAAGCAUAUAAGUGGAUUUUUCAGGAUUCUCGGGAGCAGGAGAAGUGUGUGAGGAAAGUCUUCUUACAUAAGUUUUCUUCGUAUUCCCUGUUCUUUCCUAUAUCGCAUUGUUCAAUAUAUCUGUUCUGUUUAAGUAUGAUUUGUUGACUUGAUAUAUGCAUUAUUGAAUUAAGUUUGAAUAUGUUCAUUAUGUUUUGGUGUGUGCGCUUUACGUUUCAUUUUUUAUUUCUCAAUUCUUUCUUUGUGGGUGAGAUUAGUGUGAUUUGUAUUUCUGGUCUUUUCAUGUGAUCUCGGCUUCUUUGGCAACCAUUUGUAAGCAAAUCACUGGACUUUUCAGGUUUCUCGGAAGCAAGAGAAGUUUAUGAGCAAGUACUUCUUAUCUAAGUUUACUUCGUAUUCUCUUCUUUCUGCUAUAUUGCAAUUUUCAUUAUCUCUAGUAUGUGUUGAUAUUAUUUGUUGAUUUGUGUUAUUUUUUGUGCGCAUUUGUGUAUUGUUUGUUGUUUGUGAUUUCUUUGAUUUUGGGUGAGAAGUUAUUGAUUUCCUUUUUGUAGCAUUUUUCCAUGGAAUGUUAGUUUCUUUUCCUCGUCUUUUCAUUUAAUGCCGGUUUCUUAGCCCACAAUUUAUAACCGUAUAACUUCAUUUUUUCAGGUUAUUCGGGAGCAGGUGAAGUGUAUGAAGAAAUAAUUUUUUGGUAGGUUUCAUUCGAAUUCUCCCAUAUCACAUCGCUCGUUAUGUAUGGGUAUUAUUUUUUGACUUUAUGUAUACAUUAUAUAAAUUAUUUAGAAUAUUUUGAUUUCUGUGUUUGGUUGUGGGUUUUAUGUGUUGUUUUUUAUUUGUCAUUUAUUUGAUUGUUUGUGUGAAGUAUUAGAUUUCCUUUGAACUAUGUUUUUCCUUGGGAUGUUAUUUUUAUUUUCUCGUCUUUUCAUCUGAUAUCGGUGUCUUGUCCAACCAUUAAUAAGCAUAUAAGUGGAUUUUUCAGGAUUCUCGGGAGCAAGAGAAGUGUGUGAGGAAAGUCUUCUUACAAAAGUUUUCUUCGUAUUCCCUGUUCUUUCAUAUAUCGCAUUGUUCAAUAUAUCUGUUAUGUUUGGGUAUGAUUUGUUGACUUGAUCUAUGUAUUAUUGAAUUAAGUUCGAAUAUGUUCAUUAUGUUUUGGUUUGUGUGCUUUGCGUUUUAUUUUUUAUUUCUCAUUUCUUUCUUUGUGGGUGAGAAUAGGGUAAUAUCCAUUUCUGGUCUUUUCUUGUGAUCUCGGCUUCUUUUUCAAUCAUUUCUAAGCAUAUCACUAGAUUUUUCAGGUUUCUCGGAAGCAAGAUAAGUUUAUGAGGAAGUACUUCUUAUCUAAGUUUACUUCGUAUUCCCUUUUUUUUGCUAUAUCGCAAUUUUCAUUAUCUCUGUUAUGUGUUGGUAUUAUUUGUUUAUUUGUGUUAUUUUUUGUGCGCAUUUGUGUUUUGUUUUUGUUUGUGAUUUCUUUGAUUAUGGGUGAGAAGUUGUUGAUUUCCUUUUUGUAGCAUUUUUCCAUGGAAUGUUAGUUUCCUUCCCUCGUCUUUUCAUUUAAUGGCGUUUUCUAAGCCCACAAUUUAUCACCGUAUAACUUCAUUUUUUCAGGUUAUUCGGGAGCAGGUGAAGUGUAUGAAGAAAUACUUUUUUGGUAAGUUUCAUUCGAAUUCAACCAUCUCACAUCGCUCGUUAUGUUUGUUAUGUUUGGGUAUUAUUUGUUGACUUUAUGUAAGCGUUAUAGAAUUUAUUUAGAAUAUUUUGAUUUCUGUGUUUGGUUUUGGGUUUUAUGUGUGGCUUUUUAUUUGUCAUUUAUUUGAUUGUUUGUGUGAAGUAUUAGAUUUCCUUUGAACUGUGUUUUUCCUUGGGAUGUUAUUUUUAUUUUCUCGUCUUUUCAUCUGAUCUCCGUGUCUUGUCCAACCAUUAAUAAGCAUAUAAGUGGAUUUUUCAGGAUUCUCGGGAGCGGGAGAAGUGUGUGAGGAAAGUCUUCCUAGAUAAGUUUUCUUCGUAUUCCCUGUUCUUUCAUAUAUCGCAUUCUUCAAUAUAUCUGUUAUGUUUGGGUAUGAUUUGUUGACUUGAUCUAUGCAUUAAUGAAUUAAUUUCGGAUAUGUGCAAUAUGUUUUGGGUUUGUGUAACUUGCGUUUUAGUUUUUAUUUNNNNNNNNNNNNNNNNNNNNNNNNNNNNNNNNNNNNNNNNNNNNNNNNNNNNNNNNNNNNNNNNNNNNNNNNNNNNNNNNNNNNNNNNNNNNNNNNNNNNUAUGUGCAAUAUGUUUUGGUUUGUGUGCUUUGCGUUUUAUUUUUUAUUUCUCAUUUCUUUCUUUGUGGGUGAGAAUAGUGUUAUUUCCAUUUCUGGUCUUUUCUUGUGAUCUCGGCUUCUUUGGCAAUCAUUUCUAAGCAUAUCACUGGAUUUUUCAGGUUUCUCGGAAGCAAGAGAAGUUUAUGAGGAAGUACUUCUUAUCUAAGUUUACUUCGUAUUCCCUUUUUUCUGCUAUAUCGCAAUUUUCAUUAUCUCUGUUAUGUUUUGUUAUUAUUUGUUGAUUUGUGUUAUUUUUUGUGCGCAUUUGUGUUUUGUUUGUUGUUUGUGAUUUCUUUGAUUAUGGGUGAGAAGUUCUUGAUUUCCUUUUUGUAGCAUUUGUCCAUGGCAUGUUAGUUUCCUUUUCUCGUGUUUUCAUUUAAAGUCGGUUUCUAAACCCACAAUUUGUAACCGUAUAACUUCAUUUUUUCAGGUUAUUCAGGAGCAGGCGAAGUGUAUGAAGAAAUACUUUUUUGGUAAGUUUCAUUCGAAUUCUCCCAUCUCACAUCGCUCAUUAUGUUUGUUAUGUUUGGGUAUUAUUUUUAGACUUUAUGUAUGCGUUAUAGAAUUUAUUUAGAAUAUUUUGAUUUCUGUGUUUGGUUGUGGGUUUUAUGUGUGGCUUUUUAUUUGUCAUUUAUUUGAUUGUUUGUGUGAAGUAUUAGAUUUCCUUUGAACUGUGUUUUUCCUUGCGAUGUUAUUUUUAUUUUCUCGUCUUUUCAUCUGAUCUCCGUUUCUUGUCCAACCAUUAAUAAGCAUAUAAGUGGAUUUUUCAGGAUUCUCGAGAGCAGGAGAAGUGUGUGAGGAAAGUCUUCUUAGAUAAGUUUUCUUCGUAUUCCCUGUUCUUUCAUAUAUCGCAUUGUUCAAUAUAUCUGUUAUGUUUGGGUAUGAUUUGUUGACUUGAUCUAUGCAUUAUUGAAUUAAGUUCGAAUAUGUUCAUUAUGUUUUUGUUUGUACGAUUUACGUUUCAUUUUUUAUUUCUCAUUUCUUUCUUUGUGGGUGAGAAUAGUGUAAUUUGUAUUUCUGGUCUUUGCAUGUGAUCUCGGCUUCUUUGGCAAGCAUUUCUAAGCAAUCACUAGACUUUUCAGGUUUCUCGGAAGCAAGAGAAGUUUAUGAGGAAGUACUUCUUAUCUAGGUUUACUUCGUAUUCCCUUUUUUCUUCUAUUUCGCAAUUUUCAUUAUCUCUGUUAUGUGUUGGUAUUAUUUGUUGAUUUGUGUUAUUUUUUGUGCGCAUUUGUGUUUUGUUUGUUGUUUGUGAUUUCUUUGAUUUUGGGUGAGAAGUUGUUGAUUUCCUUUUUGUAAAUUUUUUCCAUGGAAUGUUAGUUUCCUUUUCUCGUCUUUUCAUUUAAUGUCGGUUUCUUAGCCCACAAUUUAUAAUCGUAUAACUUCAUUUUUUCAGGUUAUUCGGGAGUAGGUGAAGUGUAUGAAGAAAUACUUUUUUGGUAAGUUUCAUUCGAAUUCUCCCAUAUCACAUCGCUCGUUACGUUUGUUAUGUUUGGGUAUUAUAUUUUUACUUUAUGUAUACGUUAUAUAAUUUAUUUAGAAUAUUUUGAUUUCUGUGUUUGGUUGUGGGUUUUAUGUGUGGCUUUUUAUUUGUCAUUUAUUUGAUUGUUUGUUUGAAGUAUUAGAUUUCCUUUGAACUGUGUUUUUCCUUGGGAUGUUAGUUUUAUUUUCUCGUCUUUUCAUAUGAUCCCGGUGUCUUGUCCCACCAUUAAUAAGCAUAUAAUUGGAUUUUUCAGGAUUCUCAGGAGCAGGAGAAUUGUGUGAGGAAAGUCUUCUUAGAUAAGUUUUCUUCGUAUUCCCUGUUCUUUCAUAUAUCGCAUUGGUCAAUAUAUCUAUUAUGUUUGGGUAUGAUUUGUUGACUUGAUCUAUGCAUUAUUGAAUUCAUUUCGAAUAUGUUCAUUAUAUUUUGGUUUGUGCACAUUACGUUUCAUUUUUUAUUUCUCAUUUCUUUCUUUGUGGGUGAGAAUAGUGUAAUUUGUAUUUUUGGUCUUUUCAUGUGAUCUCGGCUUCUUUGGCAAGCAUUUCUAAGCAAAUCACUGGACUUUUCAGGUUUCUCGGAAGCAAGAGAAGUUUAUGAGGAAGUACUUCUUAUCUAAGUUUACUUCGUAUUCCCUUUUUUCUACUAUAUCGCAAUUUUCAUUAUCUCUGUUAUGUGUUGGUAUUGUUUGUUAUUUUGUGUUAUUUUUUGUGCGCAUUUGUGUUUUGUUUGUUGUUUGUGAUUUCUUUGAUUAUGGGUGAGAAGUUGUUGAUUUCCUUUUAUUGGAAUUUUUCCAUGGAAUAUUAGUUUCCUUUUCUCGUCUUUUCAUUUAAUGUCGGUUUUGCAGCCCACAAUUUAUAACCGUAUAACUUCAUUUUUUCAGGUUAUUCGAGAGCAGGUGAAGUGUAUGAAGAAAUACUUUUUUGGUAAGUUUCAUUCGAAUUCUCCCAUCUCACAUCGCUCGUUAUGUUUGUUAAGUUUGGGUAUUAUUUUUUGACUUUAUGUAUGCGUUAUAUAAUUUAUUUUGAAUAUUUUUAUUUCUGUGUUUGGUUGUGGGUUUUAUGUGUGGUUAUUUGUCAUUUAUUUGAUUGUUUGUUUGAAGUAUUAGAUUUCCUUUGAACUGGGUUUUUCCAUGGGAUGUUAUUUUGAUUUUCUCGUCUUUUCAUCUGAUCUCCGUUUCUUGUCCCACCAUUAAUAUGAAUAUAAGUGUAUUUUUCAGGAUUCUCGGGAGCAGGAGAAGUGUGUGAGGAAAGUCUUCUUACAUAAGUUUUCUUCGUAUUCCCUGUUCUUUCAUAUAUCGCAUUGUUCAAUAUAUCUGUUAUGUUUGGGUAUGAUUUGUUUACUUGAUCUAUGCAUUAUUGAAUUCAGUUCGAAUAUGUUCAUUAUGUUUUGGUUUGUGCGAUUUACGUUUCAUUUUUUAUUUCUCAUUUCUUUCUUUGUGGGUGACAAUAGUGUAAUUUGUAUUUCUGGUCUUUUCAUGUCAUCUCGGCUUCUUUGCCAAACAUUUCUAAGCAAAUCACUGGACUUUUUAGGUUUCUCGGAAGCAAGAGAAGUUUAUGAGGAAGUACUUCUUAUCUAGGUUUACUUCGUAUUCCCUUUUUUCUUCUAUAUCGCAAUUUUCAUUAUCUCUGUUAUGUGUUGGUAUUAUUUGUUUAUUUGUGUUAUUUUUUGUGCGCAUUUGUGUUUUCUUUGUUGUUUGUGAUUUCUUUGAUUUUGGAUGAGAAGUUCUUGAUUUCCUUUUUGUAGCAUUUUUCCAUGGAAUGUUAGUUUCCUUGUCUCGUCUUUUCAUUUAAUGUCGGUUUCUUAGCCCACAAUUUAUAAUCGUAUAACUUCAUUUUUUCAGGUUAUUCGGGAGUAGGUGAAGUGUAUGAAGAAAUACUUUUUUGGUAAGUUUCAUUCGAAUUCUCCCAUAUCACAUCGCUCGUUACGUUUGUUCUGUUUGGGUAUUAUUUUUUGACUUUAUGUAUACGUUAUAUAAUUUAUUUAGAAUAUUUUGAUUUGUGUGUUUGGUUGUGGGUUUUAUGUGUGGCUUUUUAUUUGUCAUUUAUUUGAUUGUUUGUUUGAAGUAUUAGAUUUCCUUUGAACUGGGUUUUUCUAUGGGAUGUUAUUUUAAUUUUCUCGUCUUUUCAUCUGAUCUCGGUGUCUUGUCCCACCAUUAAUAUGCAUAUAAGUGUAUUUUUCAGGAUUCUCGGGAGCAAGAGAAGUGUGUGAGGAAAGUCUUCUUACAUAAGUUUUCUUCGUAUUCCCUGUUCUUUCAUAUAUCGCAUUGUUCAAUAUAUCUGUUAUGUUUGGGUAUGAUUUGUUGACUUGAUCUAUGCAUUAUUGAAUUAAGUUCGAAUAUGUUCAUUAUGUUUUGGUUUGUGGGCUUUGCGUUUCAUUUUUUAUUUCUCAUUUCUUUCUUUGUGGGUGAGAAUAGUGUAAUUUCCAUUUCUGGUCUUUUCUUGUGAUCUCGGCUUUUUUGGCAAUCAUUUCUAAGCAUAUCACUGGACUUUUCAGGUUACUUAGAAGCAAGAGAAGUUUAUGAGGAAGUACUUCUUAUUUAAGUUUACUUCGUAUUCCCUUUUGUCUGCUAUAUCCCAAUUUUCAUUAUCUCUGUUAUGUGUUGGUAUUAUUUGAUCAUUUGUUUAAUUUUUUGUGCGUAUUUGUGUUUUGUUUGUUGUUUGUGAUUUCUUUGAUUUUGGAUGAGAAGUUCUUGACUUCCUUUUUGUAGCAUUUUUCCAUGGAAUGUCAGUUUCCUUUUCUCGUCUUUUCAUUUAAUGUCGGUUUCUUAGCCCACAAUUUAUAACCGUAUAACUUCAUUUUUUCAGGUUAUUCGGGAGCAGGUGAAGUGUAUGAAGAAAUACUUUUUUGGUAAGUUUCAUUCGAAUUCUCCCAUAUCACAUCGCUCGUUAUGUUUGGGUAUUAUUUUUUGACUUUAUGUAUACGUUAUAUAAUUUAUUUAGAAUAUUUUUAUUUCUGUGUUUGGUUGUGGUUUUUAUGUGUGGCUUUUUAGAUGUCAUUUAUUUGAUUGUUUGUGAGAAGUAUUAGAUUUCCUUUGAACUGUGUUUUUCCUUGGGUUGUUAUUUUUAUUUUCUCGUCUUUUCAUAUGAUGUCAGUGUCUUGUCCAACCGUUAAUAAGCAUAUAAGUGGAUUUUUCAGGAUUCUCGGGAGCAGGAGAAGUGUGUGAGGAAAGUCUUCUUAGAUAUGUUUUCUUCGUAUUCUCUGUUCUUUCAUUUAUUGCAUUGUUCAAUAUAUCUGUUAUGUUUGGGUAUGAUUUGUUGACUUGAUCCAUGCAUUAUUGAAUUAAGUUCGAAUAUGUUCAUUAUGUUUUGGUUUGUGUGCUUUGCGUUUUAUUUUUUAUUUCUCUUUUCUUUCUUUGUGAGUGAGAAUAGUGUAAUUUCCAUUUCUGGUCUUUUCUUGUGAUCUCGGCUUCUUUGGCGAUCAUUUCUAAGCAUAUCACUGGAUUUUUUAGGUUUCUCGGAAGCAAGAGAAGUUUGUGAGGAAGUACUUCUUAUCUAAGUUUUCUUCGUAUUCUCUGUUCUUUCAUUUAUUGCAUUGUUCAAUAUAUCUGUUAUGUUUGGGUCUGAUUUGUUGACUUGAUCUAUGCAUUAUUGAAUUAAGUUCGAAUAUGUUCAUUAUAUUUUGGUUUGUGUGCUUUUCGUUUUAUUUUUUAUUUCUCAUUUCUUUCUUUGUGGGUGAGAAUAGUGUAAUUUGCAUUUCUGGUCUUUUCUUGUGAUCUCGGCUUCUUUGGCAAUUAUUUCUUAGCAUAUCACUGGAUUUUUAAGGUUUCUCGGAAGCAAGAGAAGUUUAUGAGGUAGUACUUCUUAUCUAAGUUUACUUCGUAUUCCCUUUUUUUUGCUAUAUCGCAAUUUUCAUUAUCUUAUUUAUGUGUUGGUAUUAUUUGUUGAUUUGUGUUAUUUUUUGUGUGCAUUUGUAUUUUGUUUGUUGUUUGUGAUUUCUUUGAUUAUGGGUGAGAAGUUUUUGCUUUCCUUUUUGUAGCAUUUUUCAAUGGAAUGUUAGUUUCCUUGUCUCGUCUUUUCAUAUAAUGUCGGUUUCUAAGCCCACAAUUUAUAACCGUAUAACUUCAUCUUUUCAGGUUAUUCGGGAGCAGGUGAAGUGUAUGAAGAAAUAAUUUUUUGGUAAGUUUCAUUCGAAUUCUCCCAUAUCACAUCGCUAGUUAUGUUUGGGUAUUAUUUUUUGACUUUAUGUAUACGUUAUUUAAUUUAUUUCGAAUAUUUUAAUUUAUAUGUUUGGUUGUUGGUUUUAUGUGUGGCUUUUUAGUUUUCAUUUAUUUGAUUGUUUGUGAGAAGUAUUAGAUUUCCUUUGAACUGCGUUUUUCCUUAGGAUGUUAUUAUUAUUUUCUUGUUUAUUCAUCUGAUUUCAGUGUCUUGUCCAACCAUUAAUAAACAUAUAAGUGGAUUUUUCAGGGUUCUCGGGAGCCGGAGAAGUGUGUGAGGAAAGUCUUCUUAGAUAAGUUUUCUUCGUAUUCUCUGUUCUUUCAUAUAUCGCAUUGUUCAAUAUACCUGUUAUGUUUGGGUAUGAUUUGUUGAGUUGAUCUAUGCAUUAUUGAAUUCAGUUCGAAUAUGUUCAUUAUGUUUUGGUGUGUGUGCUUUACGUUUCAUUUUUUAUUUCUCAUUUCUUUCUUUGUGGGUGAGAAUAGUGUAAUUUGUAUUUCUGGUCUUUUCAUGUGAUCUCGGCUUCUUUGGCAACCAUUUCUAAGCAAAUCACUGGACUUUUCAGGUUUCUCGGAAGCAAGAGAAGUUUAUGAGGAAGUACUUCUGAUCUAAGUUUACUUCGUAUUCCCUUUUUUCUACUAUAUCGCAAUUUUCAUUAUCUCUGUUAUGCAUUGGUAUUAUUUGUUGAUUUGUGUUAUUUUUUGUGCGCAUUUGUAUUUUGUUUGUUGUUUGUGAUUUCUUUGAUUAUGGGUGAUAAGUUGUUGAUUUCCUUUUUCUAGCAUUUUUCCAUGGAAUGUUAGUUUCCUUUUCUCGUCUUUUCAUUUAAUGUCGGUUUCUAAGCCCACAAUUUAUAACCGUAUAACUUCAUUUUUUCAGGUUAUUCCGGAGCAGGUGAAGUAUAUGAAGAAAUACUUUUUUGGUAAGUUUCAUUCGAAUUCUCCCAUAUCAUAUCGCUCGUUAUGUUUGUUAUGUUUGGGUAUUAUUUUUUGACUUUAUGUAUGCGUUAUAAUUUAUUUAGAAUAUUUUGAUUUCUGUGUUUGGUUGUGGGUUUUAUGUGUGGCUUUUUAGCUGUCAUUUAUUUGAUUGUUUGUGAGAAGUAUUAGAUUUCCUUUGAACUGUGUUUUUCCUUGGGAUGUUAUUUUUAUUUUCUCCUCUUUUCAUCUGAUCUCAGUGUCUUGUCCAACCAUUAAUAAGCAUAUAAGUGGAUUUUUCAGGAUUCUCGGGAGCAGGAGAACUGUGUGAGGAAAUUCUUCUUAAAUAAGUUUUCUUCGUAUUCCCUGUUCUUUCGUAUAUCGCAUUGUUCAAUAUAUCUGUUAUGUUUGGGUAUGAUUUGUUGACUUGAUCUAUGCAUUAUUGAAUUAAGUUCGAAUAUGUUCAUUAUGUUUUGGUUUGUGUUCUUUGCGUUUGAUUUUUUAUUUCUCAUUUCUUUCUUUGUGGGUGAGAAUAGUGUAAUUUCCAUUUCUGGUCUUUUCUUGUGAUCUCGGCUUGUUUGGCAAUCAUUUCUAAGCAUAUCACUGGAUUUUUCAGGUUUCUCGAAAGCAAGAGAAGUUUAUGAGGAAGUACUUCUUAUCUAAGUUUACUUCGUAUUCCCUUUUUUCUUCUAUAUCGCAAUUUUCAUUAUCUCUGUUAUGUGUUGAUAUUAUUUGUUGAUUUGUGUUAUUUUUUGUGCGCAUUUGUGUAUUGUUUGUUGUUUGUGAUUUCUUUGAUUUUGGGUGAGAAGUUCUUGAUGUUUUUUUUGUAGCAUUUUUCCAAGGAAUGUUAGUUUCCUUUCCUCGUCUUUUCAUUUAAUGCCGGUUUAUUAGCCCACAAUUUAUAACCGUAUAACUUCAUUUUUUCAGGUUAUUCGGGAGCAAGUGAAGUGUAUGAAGAAAUAAUUUUUUGGUAGGUUUCAUUCGAAUUCUCCCAUAUCACAUCGCUCGUUAUGUAUGGGUAUUAUUUUUUGACUUUAUGUAUACGUUAUAUAAUUUAUUUAGAAUAUUUUGAUUUCUGUGUUUGGUUGUGGGUUUUAUGUGUUGUUUUUUAUUUGUCAUUUAUUUGAUUGUUUGUGUGAAGUAUUAGAUUUCCUUUGAACUAUGUUUUUCCUUGGGAUGUUAUUUUUAUUUUCUCGUCUUUUCAUCUGAUAUCGGUGUCUUGUCCAACCAUUAAUAAGCAUAUAAGUGGAUUUUUCAGGAUUUUCGGGAGCAAGAGAAGUGUGUGAGGAAAGUCUUCUUAGAUAAGUUUUCUUCGUAUUCCCUGUUCUUUCAUAUAUAGCAUUCUUCAAUAUAUCUGUUAUGUUUGGAUAUGAUUUGUUGACUUGAUGUAUGCAUUAUUGAAUUAAGUUCGAAUAUGUGCAAUAUGUUUUGGUUUGUGUGCUUUGCGUUUUAUUUUUUAUUUCUCAUUUCUUUCUUUGUGGGUGAGAAUAGUGUAAUUUCCAUUUCUGGUCUUUUCUUGUGAUCUCGGCUUGUUUGGCAAUCAUUUCUAAGCAUAUCACUGGAUUUUUCAGGUUUCUCGGAAGCAAGAGAAGUUUAUGAGGAAGUACUUCUUAUCUAGGUUUACUUCGUAUUCCCUUUUUUCUACUAUAUCGCAAUUUUCAUUAUCUCUAUUAUGUGUUGGUAUUAUUUGGUGAUUUGUGUUUUGUUUUUUGUUUGUGAUUUCUUUGAUUAUGGGUGAGAAGUUGUUGAUUUCCUUUUUGUAGCAUUUCUCCAUGGAAUGUUAGUUUCCUUUUCUCGUCUUUUUAUUUAAUGUCGGUUUCUUAGCCCACAAUUUAUAACCGUAUAACUUCAUUUUUUCAGGUUAUUCGGGAGCAGCUGAAGUGUAUGAAGAAAUAAUUUUUUGGUAGGUUUCAUUCGAAUUCUCCCAUAUCACAUCGCUCGUUAUGUUUGGGUAUUAUUUUUUGACUUUAUGUAUACGUUAUAUAAUUUAUUUAGAAUAUUUUGAUUUCUGUGUUUGGUUGUGGGUUUUAUGUGUGGCUUUUUAUUUGUCAUUUAUCUGAUUUUUUGUGUGAAGUAUUAGAUUUCCUUUGAAUUGUGUUCUUCCUUGGGAUGUUAGUUUUAUUUUCUCGUCUUUUCAUCUGAUCCCGGUGUCUUGUCCCACCAUUGAUAAGCAUAUAAUUGGAUUUUUCAGGAUUCUCAGGAGCAGGAGAAUUGUGUGAGGAAAGUCUUCUUAGAUAAGUUUUCUUCGUAUUCCCUGUUCUUUCAUAUAUCGCAUUGGUCAAUAUAUCUGUUAUGUUUGGGUAUGAUUUGUUGACUUGAUCUAUGCAUUAUUGAAUUCAUUUCGAAUAUGUUCAUUAUAUUUUGGUUUGUGCACAUUACGUUUCAUUUUUUAUUUCUCAUUUCUUUCUUUGUGGGUGAUAAUAGUGUAAUUUCCAUUUCUGGUCUUUUCAUGUGAUCUCGGCUUCUUUUGGAAAUCAUUUGUAAGCAUAUCACUGCAUUUUUCAGGUUUCUCGGAAGCAAGAAAAGUUUAUGAGGAAGUACUUCUUAUCUAAGUUUACUUCGUAUUCCCUUUUGUCUGCUAUAUCGCAAUUUUCAUUAUCUCUGUUAUGUGUUGGUAUUAUUUGAUCAUUUGUGUUAUUUUUUGGGCGCAUUUGUGUUUUGUUUGUUGUUUAUGAUUUCUUUGAUUUUGGGUGAGAAGUUCUUGAUUGCCUUUUUGUAGCAUUUUUCCAUGGAAUGUUAGUUUCCUUUUCUCGUCUUUUCAUUUAAUGUCGGUUUCUUAGCCCACAAUUUAUAACCGUAUAACUUCCUUUUUUAGGUUAUUCGGGAGCAGGUAAAGUGUAUGAAGAAAUACUUUUUUGGUAAGUUUCAUUCAAAUUCUCCCAUAUCACAUCGCUCGUUAUGUUUGUUAUGUUUGGGUAUUAUUUUUUUACUUUAUGUAUACGUUAUAUAAUUUAUUUAGAAUAUUUUGAUUUCUGUGUUUGGUUGUGGGUUUUAUGUGUGGCUUUUUAUUUGUCAUUUAUUUUAAUGUUUGUGUGAAGUAUUAGAUUUCCUUUGAACUAUGUUUUUCCUCGGGAUGUUAUUUUUAUUUUCUCGUCUUUUCAUCUGAUCUCCGUGUCUUGUCCAACCAUUAAUAAGCAUAUAAUGGGAUUUUUCAGGAUUCUCGGGAGCGGGAGAAGUGUGUGAGGAAAGUCUUCUUAGAUAAGUUUUCUUCGUAUUCCCUGUUCUUUCAUAUAUAGCAUUCUUCAAUAUAUCUGUUAUGUUUGGAUAUGAUUUGUUGACUUGAUCUAUGCAUUAUUGAAUUAAGUUCGAAUAUGUGCAAUAUGUUUUGGUUUGUGUGCUUUGCGUUUUAUUUUUUACUUCUCAUUUCUUUCUUUGUGGGUGAGAAUAGUGUAAUUUCCAUUUCUGGUCUUUUCUUGUGAUCUCGGCUUCUUUGGCAAUCAUUUCUAAGCAUAUCAUUGGAUUUUUCAGGUUUCUUGGAAGCAAGAGAAGUUUAUGAGGAUGUACUUCUUAUCUAAGUUUACUUCGUAUUCCCUUUUUUCUUCUAUAUCGCAAUUUUCAUUAUCUCUGUUAUGUGUUGGUAUUCUUUGUUGAUUUGUGUUAUUUUUUGUGCGCAUUUGUGUUUUGUUUUUUGUUUGUGAUUUCUUUGAUUAUGGGUGAGAAGUUGUUGAUUUCCUUUUUGUAGCAUUUCUCCAUGGAAUGUUAGUUUCCUUUUCUCGUCUUUUCAUUUAAUGGCGGUUUCUAAGCCCACAAUUUAUAACUGUAUAACUUCAUUUUUUCAGGUUAUUCGGGAGCAGGUGAAGUGUAUGAAGAAAUACUUUUUUGGUAAGUUUCAUUCGAAUUCUCCCAUCUCACAUCGCUCAUUAUGUUUGUUAUGUUUGGGUGUUAUUUUUUGACUUUAUGUAUGCGUUAUAGAAUUUAUUUAGAAUAUUUUGAUUUCUGUGUUUGGUUUUGGGUUUUAUGUGUGGCUUUUUAUUUGUCAUUUAUUUGAUUGUUUUUGUGAAGUAUUAGAUUUUCUUUGAACUGUGUUUUUCCUUGGGAUGUUAUUUUUAUUUUCUCGACUUUUCAUCUGAUCUCCGUGUCUUGUCCAACCAUUAAUAAGCAUAUAAGUGGAUUUUUCAGGAUUCUCGGGAGCGGGAGAAGUGUGUGAGGAAAGUCUUCUUAGAUAAGUUUUCUUCGUAUUCCCUGUUCUUUCAUAUAUAGCAUUCUUCAAUAUAUUUGUUAUGUUUGGAUAUGAUUUGUUGACUUGAUGUAUGCAUUAUUGAAUUAAGUUCGAAUAUGUGCAAUAUGUUUUGUUUUGUGUGCUUUGCGUUUUAUUUUUUAUUUCUCAUUUCUUUCUUUGUGGGUGAGAAUAGUGUAAUUUCCAUUUCUGGUCUUUUCUUGUGAUCUCGGCUUGUUUGGCAAUCAUUUCUAAGCAUAUCACUGGAUUUUUCAGGUUUCUCGGAAGCAAGAGAAGUUUAUGAGGAAGUACUUCUUAUCUAGGUUUACUUCGUAUUCCCUUUUUUCUACUAUAUCGCAAUUUUCAUUAUCUCUAUUAUGUGUUGGUAUUAUUUGGUGAUUUGUGUUUUGUUUUUUGUUUGUGAUUUCUUUGAUUAUGGGUGAGAAGUUGUUGAUUUCCUUUUUGUAGCAUUUCUCCAUGGAAUGUUAGUUUCCUUUUCUCGUCUUUUCAUUUAAUGUCGGUUUCUUAGCCCACAAUUUCUAACCAUAUAACUUCAUUUUUUCAGGUUAUUCGGGAGCAGCUGAAGUGUAUGAAGAAAUAAUUUUUUGGUAAGUUUCAUUCGAAUUCUCUCAUAUCACAUCGCUCGUUAUGUUUGGGUAUUAUUUUUUGACUUUAUGUAUACGUUAUAUAAUUUAUUUAGAAAAUUUUGAUUUCUGUGUUUGGUUGUGGGUUUUAUGUGUGGCUUUUUAUUUGUCAUUUAUCUGAUUGUUUGUGUGAAGUAUUAGAUUUCCUUUGAAUUGUGUUCUUCCUUGGGAUGUUAGUUUUAUUUUCUCGUCUUUUCAUCUGAUCCCGGUGUCUUGUCCCACCAUUAAUAAGCAUAUAAUUGGAUUUUUCAGGAUUCUCAGGAGCAGGAGAAUUGUGUGAGGAAAGUCUUCUUAGAUAAGUUUUCUUCGUAUUCCCUGUUCUUUCAUAUAUCGCAUUGGUCAAUAUAUCUGUUAUGUUUGGGUAUGAUUUGUUGACUUGAUCUAUGCAUUAUUGAAUUCAUUUCGAAUAUGUUCAUUAUAUUUUGGUUUGUGCACAUUACGUUUCAUUUUUUAUUUCUCAUUUCUUUCUUUGUGGGUGAGAAUAGUGUAAUUUGUAUUUCUGGUCUUUGCAUGUGAUCUCGGCUUCUUUGGCAAGCAUUUCUAAGCAAUCACUAGACUUUUCAGGUUUCUCGGAAGCAAGAGAAGUUUAUGAGGAAGCACUUCUUAUCUAGGUUUACUUCGUAUUCCCUUUUUUCUUCUAUAUCGCAAUUUUCAUUAUCUCUGUUAUGUGUUGGUAUUAUUUGUUUAUUUGUGUUAUUUUUUGUGCGCAUUUGUGUUUUCUUUGUUGUUUGUGAUUUCUUUGAUUUUGGAUGAGAAGUUCUUGAUUUCCUUUUUGUAGCAUUUUUCCAUGGAAUGUUAGUUUCCUUUUCUCGUCUUUUCAUUUAAUGUCGGUUUCUUAGCCCACAAUUUAUAACCGUAUAACUUCAUUUUUUUAGGUUAUUCGGGAGCAGGUGAAGUGCAUGAAGAAAUACUUUUUUGGUAAGUUUCAUUCGAAUUCUCCCAUAUCACAUCGCUCGUUAUGUUUGUUAUGUUUGGGUAUUAUUUUUUGACUUUAUGUAUACGUUAUAUAAUUUAUUUAGAAUAUUUUGAUUUGUGUGUUUGGUUGUGGGUUUUAUGUGUGGCUUUUUAUUUGUCAUUUAUUUGAUUGUUUGUUUGAAGUAUUAGAUUUCCUUUGAACUGGGUUUUUCCAUGGGAUGUUAUUUUGAUUUUCUCGUCUUUUCAUCUGAUCUCGGUGUCUUGUCCCACCAUUAAUAUGCAUAUAAGUGUAUUUUUCAGGAUUCUCGGGAGCAGGAGAAGUGUGUGAGGAAAGUCUUCUUACAUAAGUUUUCUUCGUAUUCCCUGUUCUUUCAUAUAUCGCAUUGUUCAAUAUAUCUGUUAUGUUUGGGUAUGAUUUGUUGACUUGAUCUAUGCAUUAUUGAAUUAAGUUCGAAUAUGUUCAUUAUGUUUUGGUUUGUGGGCUUUGCGUUUCAUUUUUUAUUUGUCAUUUCUUUCUUUGUGGGUGAUAAUAGUGUAAUUUCCAUUUCUGGUCUUUUCUUGUGAUCUCGGCUUGUUUGGCAAUCAUUUCUAAGCAUAUCACUGCAUUUUUCAGGUUACUCGGAAGCAAGAAAAGUUUAUGAGGAAGUACUUCUUAUCUAAGUUUACUUCGUAUUCCCUUUUGUCUGCUAUAUCCCAAUUUUCAUUAUCUCUGUUAUGUGUUGGUGUUAUUUGAUCAUUUGUGUUAUUUUUUGUGCGUAUUUGUGUUUUGUUUGUUGUUUGUGAUUUCUUUGAUUUUGGGUGAGAAGUUCUUGACUUCCUUUUUGUAGCAUUUUUCCAUGGAAUGUUAGUUUCCUUUUCUCGUCUUUUCAUUUAAUGUCGGUUUCUUAGCCCACAAUUUAUAACCGUAUAACUUCAUUUUUUCAGGUUAUUCGGGAGCAGGUGAAGUGUAUGAAGAAAUACUUUUUUGGUAAGUUUCAUUCGAAUUCUCCCAUAUCACAUCGCUCGUUAUGUUUGUUAUGUUUGGGUAUUAUUUUUUUACUUUAUGUAUACGUUAUAUAAUUUAUUUAGAAUAUUUUGAUUUCUGUGUUUGGUUGUGGGUUUUAUGUGUGGCUUUUUAUUUGUCAUUUAUUUUAAUGUUUGUGUGAAGUAUUAGAUUUCCUUUGAUUUGUGUUAUUCCUUGGGAUGUUAUUUUUAUUUUCUCGUCUUUUCAUCUGAUCUCUGUGUCUUGUCCAACCAUUAAUAAGCAUAUAAGUUGAUUUUUCAGGAUUCUCGGGCGCAGGAGAAGUGUGUGAGGAAAGUCUUCUUAGAUAAGUUUUCUUCGUAUUCCCUGUUCUUUCAUAUAUCGCAUUGUUCAAUAUAUCUGUUAUGUUUGGGUAUGAUUUGUUGACUUGAUCUAUGCAUUAUUGAAUUAAGUUCGAAUGUGUUCAUUAUGUUUUUGUUUUUGCGAUUUACGUUUCAUUUUUUAUUUCUCAUUUCUUUCUUUGUGGGUGAGAAUAGUGUAAUUUGUAUUUUUGGUCUUUUCAUGUGAUCUCGGCUUCUUUGGCAAACAUUUCUAAGCAAAUCAAUGGACUUUUUAGGUUUCUCGGAAGCAAAAGAAGUUUAUGAGGAAGUACUUCUUAUCUAGGUUUAUUUCGUAUUCCCUUUUCUCUACUAUAUUGCAAUUUUCAUUAUCUCUGUUGUGUGUUGGUAUUAUUUGUUGAUUUGUGUUAUUUUUUGUACGUAUUUGUGUUUUGUUUGGUGUUUGGGAUUUCUUUGAUUAUGGGUGAGAAGUUGUUGAUUUCCUUUUUGUGGAAUAUUUCCAUGGAAUAUUAGUUUCCUUUUCUCGUCUUUUCAUUUAAUGUCGGUUUCUAAGCUCACAAUUUAUAACUGUAUAACUUAAUUUUUUCAGGUUAUUCGAGAGCAGGUGAAGUGUAUGAAGAACUACUUUUUUGGUAAGUUUCAUUCGAAUUCUCCCAUCUCACAUCGCUCGUUAUGUUUGUUAAGUUUGGGUAUUAUUUUUUAUUUUAUGUAUGCGUUAUAUAAUUUAUUUAGAAUAUUUUUAUUUGUGUGUUUGGUUGUUGGUUUUAUGUGUGGCUUUUUAUUUGUCAUUUAUUUGAUUGUUUGUUUGAAGUAUUAGAUUUCCUUUGUACUGGGUUGUUCCAUGGGAUGUUAUUUUGAUUUUCUCGUCUUUUCAUCUGAUCUCGGUGUCUUGUCCCACCAUUAAUAUGCAUAUAAGUGUUUUUUUCAGGAUUGUCGGGAGCAGGAGAAGUGUGUGAGGAAAGUGUUCUUACAUAAGUUUUCUUCGUAUUCCUUGUUCUUUCAUAUAUCGCAUUGUUCAAUAUAUCAGUUAUGUUUGGGUAUGAUUUGUUGACUUGAUCUAUGCAUUAUUGAAUUAAGUUCGAAUAUGUUCAUUAUGUUUUGGUUUGUGGGCUUUGCGUUUCAUUUUUGAUUUCUCAUUUCUUUCUUUGUGGGUGAUAAUAGUGUAAUUUCCAUUUCUGGUCUUUUCAUGUGAUCUCGGCUUCUUUGGCAUCAUUUCUAAGAAUAUCACUGGAUUUUUCAGGUUUCUCGGAAGCAAGAGAAGUUUAUGAGGAAGUACUUCUUAUCUAAGUUUACUUCGUAUUCCCUUUUUUCUGCUAUAUCACAAUUUUCAUUAUCUCUGUUAUGUGGUUGUAUUAUUUGUUGAUUUGUGUUAUUUUUUGUGUGCAUUUGUGUUUUGUUUGUUGUUUGUGAUUUCUUUGAUUUUGGGUGAGAAGUUGUUGAUUUCCUUUUUGUAGCAUUUUUCCAUGGAAUGUUAGUUUCAUUUUCUCGUCUUUUCAUUUAAUGUCGGUUUCUUAGCCCACAAUUUAUAACCGUAUAACUUCAUUUUUUCAGGUUAUUCGGGAGCAGGUGAAGUGUAUGAAGAAAUACUUUUUUGGUAAGUUUCAUUCGAAUUCUCCCAUAUCACAUCGCUCGUUAUGUUUGUUAUGUUUGGGUAUUAUUUUUUGACUUUAUGUAUACAUUAUAUAAUUUAUUUAGAAUAUUUUGAUUUCUAUGUUUGGUUGUGGGUUUUAUGUGUGGCUUUUUAUUUGUCAUUUAUUUUAAUGUUUGUGUGAAGUAUUAGAUUUCCUUUGAACUGUGUUUUUCCUUGGGAUGUUAUUUUUAUUUUCUCGUCUUUUCAUCUGAUCUUUGUGUCUUGUCCAACCAUUAAUAAGCAUAUAAGUGGAUUUUUCAGGAUUCUCGGGAGCAGGAGAAGUGUGUGAGGAAAGUCUUCUUAGAUAAGUUUUCUUCGUAUUUUCUGUUCUUUCAUAUAUCGCAUUGUUCAAUAUAUCUGUUAUGUUUGGGUAUGAUUUGUUGACUUGAUCUAUGUAUUAUUGAAUUAAGUUCGAAUGUGUUCAUUAUGUUUUUGUUUUUGCGAUUUACGUUUCAUUUUUUAUUUCUCAUUUCUUUCUUUGUGGGUGAGAAUAGUGUAAUUUGUAUUUCUGGUCUUUUCAUGUGAUCUUGGCUUCUUUGGCAAACAUUUCUAAGCAAAUCACUGGACUUUUCAGGUUUCUCGGAAGCAAGAGAAGUUUAUGAGGAAGUACUUCUUAUCUAGGUUUACUUCGUAUUCCCUUUUUUCUACUAUAUCGCAAUUUUCAUUAUCUCUGUUAUGUGUUGGUAUUAUUUGUUGAUUUGUGUUAUUUUUUUUGCGCAUUUGUGUUUUGUUUGUUGUUUGGGAUUUCUUUGAUUAUGGGUGAGAAGUUGUUGAUUUCCUUUUUGUCGAAUUUUUCCAUGGAAUAUGAGUUUCCUUUUCUCGUCUUUUCAUUUAAUGUCGGUUUCUAAGCCCACAAUUUAUAACCGUAUAACUUCAUUUUUUCAGGUUAUUCGGGAGCAGGUGAAGUGUAUGAAGAAAUUCUUUUUUGGUAAGUUUCAUUCGAAUUCUCCCAUAUCACAUCGCUCGUUAUGUUUGUUAUGUUUGGGUAUUAUUUUUUGACUUUAUGUAUACGUUAUAUAAUUUAUUUAGAAUAUUUUGAUUUAUUUGUUUGGUUGUGGGUUUUAUGUGUGGCUUUUUAUUUGUCAUUUAUUUUAAUGUUUGUGUGAAGUAUUAGAUUUCCUUUGAAAUGUGUUUUUCCUUGGGAUGUUAUUUUGAUUUUCUCGUCUUUUCAUCUGAUCUCGGUGUCUUGUCCCACCAUUAAUAAACAUAUAAGUGGAUUUUUCAGGAUUCUCGGAAGCAGGAUAAGUGUGUGAGGAAAGUCUUCUUAGAUAAGUUUUCUUCGUAUUCCCUGUUCUUUCAUAUAUCGCAUUGGUCAAUAUAUCUGUUAUGUUUGGGUAUGAUUUGUUGACUUGAUCUAUGCAUUAUUGAAUUCAUUUCGAAUAUGGUCAGUAUAUUUUGGUUUGUGCGCUUUACGUUUCAUUUUUUAUUUCUCAUUUCUUUCUUUGUGGGUGAUAAUAGUGUAAUUUCCAUUUCUGGUCUUUUCAUGUGAUCUCGGCUUUUUUGGCAAUCAUUUCUAAGCAUAUCACUGGAUUUUUCAGGUUUCUCGGAAGCAAGAAAAGUUUAUGAGGAAGUACUUCUUAUCUAAGUUUACUUCGUAUACCCUUUUGUCUGCUAUAUCGCAAUUUUCAUUAUCUCUGUUAUGUGUUGGUAUUAUUUGAUUAUUUGUGUUAUUUUUUGUGCGCAUUUGUGUUUUGUUUGUUGUUUGUGAUUUCUUUAAUUUUGGGUGAGAAGUUCUUAAUUUCCUUUUUGUAGCAUUUUUCCAUGGAAUGUUAGUUUCCUUUUCUCGUCUUUUCAUUUAAUGUCGGUUUCUUAACCCACAUUUAUAACCGUAUAACUUUAUUUUUUCAGGUUAUUCGGGAGCAGGUGAAGUGUAUGAAGAAAUACUUUUUUGGUAAGUUUCUUUCGAAUUCUCCCAUAUCACAUCGCUCGUUAUGUUUGUUAUGUUUAGGUAUUAUAUUUUAACUUUAUGUAUACGUUAUAUAAUUUAUUUAAAAUAUUUUGAUUUCUGUGUUUGGUUGUGGGUUUUAUGUAUGGCUUUUUAUUUGUCAUUUAUUUGAUUGUUUGUGUGAAGUAUUAGAUUUCCUUUGAAAUGUGUUUUUCCUUGGGAUGUUAUUUUUAUUUUCUCGUCUUUUCAUCUGAUCCCGGUGUCUUGUCCCACCAUGAAUAAGCAUAUAAGUGGAUUUUUCAGGAUUCUCGGAAGCAGGAGAAGUGUGUGAGGGAAGUCUUCUUAGAUAAGUUUUCUUCGUAUUCCCUGUUCUUUCAUAUAUCGCAUUGUUCAGUAUAUCUGUUAUGUUUGGGUAUGAUUUGUUGACUUGAUCUAUGCAUUAUUGAAUUCAGUUCGAAUAUGUUCAUUAUGUUUUGGUUUGUGCGAUUUACGUUUCAUUUUUUAUUUCUUAUUUCUUUCUUUGUGGGUGAGAAUAGUGUAAUUUGUAUUUCUGGUCUUUUCAUGUGAUCUCGGCUUCUUUGGCAAGCAUUUCUAAGCAAAUCACUGGACUUUUCAAGUUUCUCGGAAGCAAGAGAAGUUUAUGAGGAAGUACUUCUUAUCUAGGUUUACUUCGUAUUCCCUUUUUUCUACUAUAUCGUAAUUUUCAUUAUCUCUGUUAUGUGUCGGUAUUAUUUGUUGAUUUGUGUUAUUUUUUGUGUGCAUUUGUGUUUUGUUUGUUGUUUGUGAUUUCUUUGAUUAUGGGUGAGAAGUUGUUGAUUUCCUUUUUGUCGAAUUUUUCCAUGGAAUGUUAGUUUCCUUUUCUCGUCUUUUCAUUUAAUGUCGGUUUCUAAGCCCACAAUUUAUAACCGUAUAACUUCAUUUUUUUAGGUUAUUCGGGAGCAGGUGAAGUGUAUGAAGAAAUUCUUUUUUGGUAAGUUUCAUUCGAAUUCUCCCAUAUCACAUCGCUCGUUAUGUUUGUUAUGUUUGGGUAUUAUUUUUUGACUUUAUGUAUAUGUUAUAUAAUUUAUUUAUAAUAUUUUGAUUUAUUUGUUUGGUUGUGGGUUUUAUGUGUGGCUUUUUAUUUGUCAUUUAUUUUAAUGUUUGUGUGAAGUAUUAGAUUUCCUUUGAAAUGUGUUUUUCCUUGGGAUGUUAUUUUGAUUUUCUCGUCUUUUCAUCUGAUCUCGGUGUCUUGUCCCACCAUUAAUAAACAUAUAAGUGGAUUUUUCAGGAUUCUCGGAAGCAGGAUAAGUGUGUGAGGAAAGUCUUCUUAGAUAAGUUUUCUUCGUAUUCCCUGUUCUUUCAUAUAUCGCAUUGGUCAAUAUAUCUGUUAUGUUUGGGUAUGAUUUGUUGACUUGAUCUAUGCAUUAUUGAAUUCAUUUCGAAUAUGGUCAGUAUAUUUUGGUUUGUGCGCUUUACGUUUCAUUUUUUAUUUCUCAUUUCUUUCUUUGUGGGUGAUAAUAGUGUAAUUUCCAUUUCUGGUCUUUUCAUGUGAUCUCGGCUUUUUUGGCAAUCAUUUCUAAGCAUAUCACUGGAUUUUUCAGGUUUCUCGGAAGCAAGAAAAGUUUAUGAGGAAGUACUUCUUAUCUAAGUUUACUUCGUAUACCCUUUUGUCUGCUAUAUCACAAUUUUCAUUAUCUCUGUUAUGUGUUGGUAUUAUUUGAUCAUUUGUGUUAUUUUUUGUGCGCAUUUGUGUUUUGUUUGUUGUUUGUGAUUUCUUUAAUUUUGGGUGAGAAGUUCUUAAUUUCCUUUUUGUAGCAUUUUUCCAUGGAAUGUUAGUUUCCUUUUCUCGUCUUUUCAUUUAAUGUUGGUUUCUAAGCCCACAAUUUAUAACCGUAUAACUUCAUUUUUUCAGGUUAUUCGGGAGCAGGUGAAGUGUAUGAAGAAAUUCUUUUUUGGUAAGUUUCAUUCGAAUUCUCCCAUAUCACAUCGCUCGUUAUGUUUGUUAUGUUUGGGUAUUAUUUUUUGACUUUAUGUAUACGUUAUAUAAUUUAUUUAGAAUAUUUUGAUUUAUUUGUUUGGUUGUGGGUUUUAUGUGUGGCUUUUUAUUUGUCAUUUAUUUUAAUGUUUGUGUGAAGUAUUAGAUUUCCUUUGAAAUGUGUUUUUCCUUGGGAUGUUAUUUUGAUUUUCUCGUCUUUUCAUUAGAUCUCCGUGUCUUGUCCAACCAUUAAUAAGCAUAUAAGUGGAUUUUUCAGGAUUCUCGGGAGCGGGAGAAGUGUGUGAGGAAAGUCUUCUUAGAUAAGUUUUCUUCGUAUUCCCUGUUCUUUCAUAUAUAGCAUUCGUCAAUAUAUCUGUUAUGUUUGGAUAUGAUUUGUUGACUUGAUGUAUGCAUUAUUGAAUUAAGUUCGAAUAUGUGCAAUAUGUUUUGUUUUGUGUGCUUUGCGUUUUAUUUUUUAUUUCUCAUUUCUUUCUUUGUGGGUGAGAAUAGUGUAAUUUCCAUUUCUGGUCUUUUCAUGUGAUCUCGGCUUUUUUGGCAAUCAUUUCUAAGCAUAUCACUGGAUUUUUCAGGUUUCUCGGAAGCAAGAGAAGUUUAUGAGGAAGUACUUCUUAUCUAAGUUUACUUCGUAUACCCUUUUGUCUGCUAUAUCGCAAUUUUCAUUAUCUCUGUUAUGUGUUGGUAUUAUUUGAUCAUUUGUGUUAUUUUUUGUGCACAUUUGUGUUUUGUUUGUUGUUUGCAAUUAUGAAAUGUCAUUCAUUAGGAAUUAAAUAGUCAAAGCAUCCAUACAUGAUUAAACGCUGUAUGGUUCAACCCCUCCUAUAUGGAUUUUUAACCCAUCCUCAAAACCCAUAUUGGAAGCAGAGCACUAAGGGCAGGAUGGAAAUGCCCAUAAAUUCUCCAAUAAGCUUGAAAGAGGGUCUAAGCCAAAGCUGUUGGGCUUGGGCCUCCUAUGCACUAGUCUUUCAAUCUAGGCUAGAUUUUGUUUUUCAAUCUGGGCUAAAUUUUGUAUAUAUUUUAUUAGAUGGGUUUUUGAAAACCCAUUUUUUUGAAAUUUGAGCCGCUAUUUUUUAGUUUUAUUCGGACAAAAAUACCCUCAUUAUUUUAUUUUAUUUUAUUUUUAUAAAAAUAACCUCUUUUUUAAAACCUACACUUAAACAUAUAAGAGUUAUUUUAUUAAAAGGGUUAUUGAAAACCCAACUUUUGAAAUUUGACCUCCCAUCCAUUUUUAGCUUUAUUCAGACAAAAAUGCCCUCAUUAUUAUCAUUAUUUUUUGGUAAAAAUAAUUUUUCUUUUAAAAUCUAUAUGUAAAUAUUUGAAAGAGACAUUUAUGUAAAAAAAAAAAAAAAAGUUAUUUUUCAAGAAAAAAUAUAGGAAUGGUUAGAUUCAUAAUUUGAAGAGAUUAUUUAAUCUCUUUUAGUGAAAUAUUUUCAUAUAUAAUAUAAGUAUUACUGUAAAGAAAAAAAAAAAAAAGGUAGUCUAAGUAUGACAAUAUGAUUAAAAUAUGAAAAAUUUUAUCUAGAUGUUGAAGAAUGAAAAACGUGACGUAAAUAAGAAUAAUAUGAUUAAGGUUCAAAAUAUAUGAUUAAGAUAUGAAUAUAUGAUUAAAGUAAUUAGGUAUGAAAAAUAAAAUUCAAAUACAAAGAAUAUAACUCAGGUACAAAAAUAUGACAAAAACAUAAAAAAUCUAAAUAAGAUCUUAAAGUAUGCAAAAUAAUCAAGAUAUUAAUAUACGAAGACACAUAAUUACUAUGGACAUGAAAAAAAUGAUUUAGGCAGAAAAAAUAUAAUCAAAAUAUAAAAAAUUGACUAAAUAUAAUUAUGGUAUGAAAAAUACAAUAAUAGUACUUAUAUGUAGGGUAUAAAAAGUAACAUCAAGGAUACAAAUGAUAUCUUUAAUUUAUACUUAUUCGUCGUAAAAAUAAAAUUCAUCUUAUAAAAAAUUUAUUUAUUAUUAUUAUUUUUACUUGUGUUCAGUGAUGUAUUAAAUUUUAAUAAGUAUCAAUUAAAAUAUAUUUAAUUUAUUUUUAUUUUAAUUGAUUAUUUUAUAUUUUUAAACUCAUUUGAUUUUUUUUUUCUUUAGUUGGAAAUUAUUUUUAUUUAUUUUUAGGGAUUUAUAUUUAUUUUAUUUUAUUUAUUUUUAAUAUAGAUAUGUUAGUAAAGUAUGGGUGCAAGACAACGUACAAUUCCGUACUAUGAGCCCAACAAGCCAAAAUGGGCUUUAGACAUCAAGAAAAGGCUUAAAAGCAAUCCUCCUUCUCUUUCGUUUUGAUUCUUCGUUCAAACAGGAGUUGUACCCAUGCAGAAUUCUUUUAAUGUUCUGUAUCAUCACCGGGAGACAAGGAAAGGAGAAGGGUCGGUGGUUGGCAUUUGGGAAUGUGUUUCUCAAUAUGAUGUCUAUCAUCAUCGGAAGACCUGGAAAGGAGAAGGGCGGUGGUGGACAUUUGGAAAGUCAAUCUUUUUUUUUUUCUUUUAAUGUUCGAAAAUGGUGUUGAGACCGCCUCAUCUUUCUCUUUGAAUGAUGGUGUCUCGAUUCUACAAUAUGCAUUCCCCGUUCUUCCGUUCUCCUUUUUAAACCCACAUUUUAGUAUUUUCUCUUCGACUUUGUUUGGUUUCCUUUUCUUUUUUUGUUUGGCUUGCCGAGAAAAUGAAGGAAAACAAAGUAAAGUUCUUGAUUUAUGUUUGAUUUUUCUUUUGCAACCAUGUUUUGAUCUUUUUUUUUUCUUGGACUUUGUUUAGUUUCUGAGAAGAUGGUCUAGGUUUGACAUGGAUUGUCUUUCUUUCUUUUUCUUGGUUUAUGUUUGGUUUGCCAAUAACGUGAAUUCUCUCUUUCAAACCUAUGUUUUGAUUUUUUUUUUCUUUUCGGCUCUAAUUGGUUUUCAAGAAAGUGACCUAGGUGUAAUUUGAAUUGUGAUUUCUUUCUUUUUCUUGGUUUCUGUUCGGUUGGCCAUGAAAUUGAAAGAAAAUGAACUCUUUGUUCUUUCUUUUUCUUCAUUUAUCUUUGGUUUACAAGAAAUUUACGUUUUCUUGAUUUUUCUUUGUCGAUUGCGUUCAUGUCGUCCAGUUUAUUUUGGUUGGUGUGCUAUGAAAAUGAUAUGAAAUUGUCACUAAUUCUUGUUUUUCCUUGUUGAUUAGUUUUUGGAAUUAUGUUGUCAUGAUGAUAAAGAGGUUCUAACCACUUAGGUUGUCGGCAAUGUCCUGAACUUGGCGCAGGGGUUGCUCGACCUUGGCAUCUGUUCCGGAGAUGUCCUUGCCAUUUCUGUUCUCAACAGGUGUGUCCUGCCAACCUACACCUUUGGUGGUGGUGAUCAUGUACGGUGGGGGCUCCUUUUAGAGCGCAAGUUAGCAGGACCACUACAAGAAUAAUUGGAAAAUAGGGAUUCAGCACCAAGUCUAAGGCAAAUGAGAAUUCAGAACCAACCGAAGGUUACCGGUUAUCUCGUCUCAUGCUCAUCAUUCAUAUCUGUAUUUAUUUUUUAUUAUUUUGAAUUCUUGAAUUUUCUUUUUAAGAAAUAGUCAUCAGAGAUGAGAGAAUUUUCUAGCUAUGUUUUCCUCCUGUGGUCACAGCUGCUUAGAGAAAAUUCAUUGUUUAAUGAUUAUAAUAAAUUGGGCCAAAUUGCAUAUUUUUAAUUUUAUACAUUUUGUUAUAAAUGUUGUUGCUUGAUUUAUUCCAAAUUUUAAAGCUGAAAAUAAGAAAUUAGCCAAACUUCCUGAUUUUCUUUAAUUUCCUCCUCCCCCCAAAGAAAAGCUCCAAUUUUAGCUUCAUUUAUAAGGGAAAUUAUUAAAAUCAUGAGCCUUAUCCCAUAUCAUAAGUAAGGACUGCAUUUCUUUUCUUAAUUUGUCUAUAGUUUUACAUAAUUUUAAUUUUGGGGGGUUGUUUGGUGAACUAUGAGACAGAGCAGAAAAGAGGGUUGUGAGCUGGAAAAAGCUGGGGGGAGGGGAGGUAAAGUGGGAAGAUGAGAAAGCUUUGCUUGGGGAGGAGUUUCAAGGUAAGGUCUUUGUAAACUUCACAUUUCCUCAUUUUCACAUUAUUCUACUACAUUUUUCUACAUAUUCCUGGGUGUGAUUUUAUUGAUUGGUUUGGGCAUCAAGGAUUAUUGGUUUGUUUUUCUGAAUUUAUUUGUAUGUAUAUAUGCUCUGUUUGAUUUUAUCUUGGUUUCCUAGACUCCUCCUGCAAGUAGUUGAUGCAUGGCUUCAUCCUUGAACUUGAUAUGUAAAAAUCAUGCUUUUGUUUCUUGUUGAUGCUACCUGCUACUAGCUCUUUUGACAAUCCAUGAAAUAGAGCUAGGUUCAUACUCUGUUUCUAUGUUUUUCCUCCUCUGUUUAUUGCUCUAUUUCUUGUUGAUGGUGGGAUGAUGUCAUCAAUGGCCAAGUUGUUGGGACUGGAGAAGUGAGGUUGUGGAGGGAAAUGAACUCAAUGAAGGAUUUCUAUGAUUGUAUUUGUGCUUCAAUCUAUUGGUUCAAAAUGGUGGCCAUGAAUUUGCAUUAAAGUUUUGUGUUCGAGUUUGCUUUGCCAUCUGGGUUUGAUAAGAUAUAUACUAGUAGUGAAGAUGAGAAUGAGGAUUUGAGACAUCUCCUCUUUUCCUAGAAGUCUUAGUGACUGUAGAAAUGGGUACUAUGUUCUUUGAGAAUAGCAGAUGAAGGUGAUCUUGUCCCAUUUGGACCUGGAAGCUAUAAAUUCUGUAACCUUCAAGGAAGACUAAGGGAAGCUCCUAGAUCUGGUCUCUAGGAUGCUAUGUAUGUGAAAUGACUACUCACAAACCUGCAUUUAAAGCCUUCAAUAUGCAAGCUUUGAUAAGCAAAAUGUACAAGUUUAUAGUGGCUCAAUUUCCAACCAUGUAUUCUGGUGCAUUCUUCUUGGCCCAAAGUGGGAAUCUAUGUCUGCUCUCCUCAAGAUCCUAGCAUUAUAACUCUUGAAAGUGUGCUCUCUGCUGCGGCGCAUCCAGCUUUUAAUGAAAGAUGGUUAUACUUCGAUUGAUGUUUUUUGGAAAAAAUAAGUUUCUCAAAGUUGGUUAAAAACCAAUACUGGGGUAUAAGCCUCCAUGCCAAAGUUUGUUGUUUGGUUCUGAGUGGUUCUUUCUUAUAGAGAAGACAAUGGUGCAGACGAGUAGAACAAGCUUCAACCCAUAGUGUGCUAAAGGUCCUCUAUCCUGAACUUGAAGAAAACAUCUACACUAUUACUCUUUCUGGAGGAACUGGGUUCUCAACCUUGGCCAUAAUCAAGCAUGCAGAUGCCAAGGAUGUCACCCUCUUUUGACUAAUGUCCAUUUCAGCUUGCGAAAGCAAAGGGAACUUUGAUGAAAAUGGUAGCUACAGUUGCCUCCUUGGUGUUGGGUAUAAAGACAGAAGGUAUUAAAGAAGGAUGACAUUAUGGAAGGAGGUUUGACCAUGUAUAUGGAGGUGGGCACAAAACACUAGAGGAAUUGCUAGAAAUCAUCACCUGGUGUUGCAGUAUUCCUUCAAGUGGCUUGCUGGGUGCUCACAAGGGAGAGUCAAAUUAAGGGUGUGCAUGGCAACGACUAAGUCACGAUUUGAUGUCCAAGUAGAAAAUCAUCUAGUUGUAACUUCAGAGGAAUUUUCUGUGCAUUAUUUGCACAUGAGGAUUGCCACAGACAAGUAGGUCUAACUGAGCAAUAAGGCAUCAGAUCGAAUGAGCUUACUGGGUGAGAGUAUUUCAUCUGAUGUGAUGAGCAUUACUGGAAGAGGUCUCACCGAGUUUUUUGGUGUCCCAAUUUAAAAGAUAGAUAUUAUAACUGCUGCCAUGAGACCAGCAUUAGUCACAAAAAGAGGAUUCUGCAUUGCAAGCACUCGAGUCAUUGAUCAUCCACAUCGGAGCAGUUCUGGAUGUGUCUUCUUUGCUUCCUUGUCCCCUUUCUCAUGGAUGCUGCAAUUACUACUAUCAAUGUCCUAGAGGAAAAUCUUGAUCUGACUAUGAAGCUGGUGGAAAAUAUUCCUAUGUUAUGGCAAGAAUUGUCUAAUUUCCAAGGCCUUUCAGUAGCAAGCCAUCUCUUAUCAGCCAUAGUAUUUCUCAUAACAGAGAAUUCAAUAGGUUCCUUAGAGAAUGAGUCGCACUUAAUUGAAGAUAUUACGGAUCGUAGGCUAAAUGAAGGCUCUGUGUUUGUUGUGGUUUCCAAUAGAUCCACGCUUGAUGAAUGUCGUCUUCCUGUCGGAAUCAAACUAUUUGUUUUUACUACAAACCUCCAGUCUAAUCACCUUGCUCUUCAUGUUGACGGUGACAGUUCUUCUUGCACGAUUUGUGUUGCCUCUGGAUGCUCCAUUUACAGAGUUCAAGUAUGAAUGGAAGAUUAUUUGGUCAGCAAAUGAAAAGAAAGCCUCAUGAUGCCAAUAAGCGCAUGGGUUACAGACCAUCAGCUAGUAGAAGCAUUUCCCAACCAAGUCUUGUUUUACUGAUGAUUCAGCUGCGGGCUCUAGUGCUGAAACCUGAACUUGAGACAGGUAAAAAUCCAGGAGUAUUAUGCUCAAGUUGUGUUGUUGAAUCCUGAAGGUGAGCAAAGAAAUAGCCAGGCUCUGGAAUCUACUCCAUAAGGUCCGUCAGUGAAACCCCCUCCAGCAAACUAUGACCACGUUGAGGUACCCCCAAAGAUGAACUAGGCCUGAAAGGUAGUACUCGGUGGUUUGUGAGGCUAAUUCUAGGGAACUUAUGUUUGGAACCACGUUGUUGGUUAUGAAGGCAUGAAUACAGAAAGUUUGGUUUCCAUUAAGGACAGGAUAUCUAUUUAUUUUUUAGACCAGGUUCCAACGGAUAAAAAGAAUGCCAAUCUACAAAUCAUAGCCAGUUCAGUUAAGCAUGGGGAAGGAAAAACAAUUUUUGUAAGAAAAACAGACUUGCUUCUUCUCAGUUUCAUCUAGUUCAACCAUCCAUGGCCCAAGCACUGGUGGGAUUGUUGCUUCUUCUCUGGAGAGUAGUUUAGACUCACUUGAUCAUCGUCCAAGAAUUUACAUUUGAUAGGAUAAUUCUCGUUUACAGCUGGGCAGGUACUGCAGCAAAACUGGAGUGAGGAAACUGAUGCAUGAGUGACUUGGUGAUGAUCACAUGUCACAGAAAAUAAAGCCAGAAAUUUCUGACGUAAAGCAUGGACUUUGAGGAUACUUAACCUCUCCCCAGCGAUUAUGAUCUAAUGCCAGAGACUAGGGAGCCUAAUUCUGAAGCUCGCGUUAAGUGUUGAUGAGUUCAACAACUCAGUUGAAGCAUUGCUUGAGAAAGAUGAAAUGUCGGUUGCUUUUCAUAAACUGAUCAUUAUGGAAAAAUGCCAUGGCAGUUGGCGAAUUCACUUCAUUGCUGGACUUUUUUCCCACUCCAGUAAAGCCGAUGAGCCCUCACUGUCCAGUAUCCAGCAUUGCAGUUUCAGGCAAAUCCUCUAUCUCCUUUGGCGGCUUCACCACGUGCUUGUGCUCCCUACAUGCAUAGCCACCCUCUUCACUAUUUGGAUUCAUUGGCCUCAGGCUUCUAUUCCAUUUUCAGAGGAUGAGUUUAAGUAUAUGAAAAAUCUUGAUCCAGUUCGGGAUUCUGGGAUGCUGCUCAUAUAUCCAAACAUCAAGAUCAGGCCAACUUUCAACCAGCCUUAGUAUCCCAUGCACCUUCCAUCUGGGAUACUGAUGAAACAUGCGAUGCCUUCUCUUUCCAAAAGAAUCUUGUUUUUCAUCAGGAGGUUCUGAGUUCCUUCUCUGGGGACUGGUGAACAGAUUACUAGAAUUAAUUUAGUGGGCUCUGGUUGCUUGAUUGAGGGGUUGCUCGAUGUGGAGUGCCUUUUGGAUAAUCCUGUUCAUAGAGAUCCAUUUGAUCCUUACAUGCUUGAUGGUACUGCCAGGGACCUCAGUGGGCUUGCAAAUAUAUAUUGGCCUGACUAUUUAGGGCCCUAAGAUUUGGAUAUGUCUUCCUCUAGAUACCAUAAUGAAGAUCUAAUCUUAAGUGACAGCCUUGGUGGUUUGAAGAGUUUGGUGGCAACAAUGUGGAUGCAUUUCAAAAUUGCUCCUCCUUCAGGUUGGACAAGAAAGGACCUGCAUCAACAGUUGAAGCUCGAGAAACAAUCUCAUUUGCAAAUGUUAAAAUUGGCAGUAGAUGGUUCAGAUGGUUUAAAAUAUGAUGGUGGAGAUAGUAAAAGACAUGGACAUGGAACUUUUUACUCAGGUAGAAAUGGAAACUUGGAAAACAAUGGAGCAUAUGGAGUUUAUCAAUUCCGAAAAUAAGCAUUUAUGAGCAGCCUCUCCAGAAGAGGCUCUCCCUGAAUGGCCAGAGCCUACACAUGUCUUUUGCUGUUCCAGAACUGAAAAUCACUUUGUCGGAGACUAUACAGUAUGCUGCUUUUUGGAACAUCGCAACUGGAGCUCCUUUUCAUGCAAUAACUGCAAGAGAUGGCCAAAGUAUUUGGUUAUACUGCCAGUGAACCUAUUGCUAUGCAGAUUCAAGGAAGUCAGGUAAAGGCUAGCUAGGUUGAUCCAUUGUGAGAAAGAAGGAAUUGAAUAAGAAAGGAUGUUUACCCAGGGAUCUGGUGAUAUCAUUGCAUCAGCUGUGCAGCCUAAAUCGGCAGUCGAUCAAAUUUCUAAAAAUUCAAGUUUGUCCUCAUCUCCAAAGUCUGUAUUACCAGAAAAGGUCCCAAUGGAUCAAGUUUCCUCAUGGAGUUUUAAUCUAGAGGUCAGCAAGAACCAUCCAAUCCCUCAAAGAAAACUUUAGAAGUCAAUAUCAUUCUGAGCGAGAAUAAAGCAGAAGCAGGUCAGACAAACAUAAAACAAACUAUUAAGGUAGCUAAUUCAAUAACAAUCCAAGAUACUGAAGGCAAAUCUGGAUAAUCGACACAUGAUAAGAAUGUUAUGGACAUGCUAGAGCCAGUUGAGGACAAUGCUACUUUAGACACCAUUGGAGACGUCAAGGAAAACAAUGGUGAAACAACAGAUGAACUCUUGGAACCACUACUACUGUGCUGUGAAUCUCUGCAAUCAUGUAGAUCUGGCAUCUUAGCUGAUGGUCAACUUGAUGAUCUCAUCCGAAGAGUUGCUACCUUUGGAAUGGUAUUAAUGAAGCUUGACUUGUGUCAGUAAUAUGCUAGGCAUGCUGAAACACAAAUGGAUCCAGAAGUUGGUGGACAUCAAUGGAGCAGGGGAUGCAUUCGUUGGAGGAUUGUUUAAAGGCCUGGAAAAUUCUUCCUAAAGUUAACUAUGCCAUGAGUGGCUAUGAGCUGGAAAUGUUGGUAACUUCAUAUCUUUUCUCUUGGAGCUUCGUGGGGUAUUUGCCAAUAUGCUUUGCACCUACAUCGCUGCCGUUGGACGGAUAUCUCUGCUGUUAUAUUGAUUACGCAGGAAUGUACUGAGCAACCUAAGCAUUGACAUCAGAUUACACAGGAAAACAAUGUUUCUUGUGGGGAAUUAGCUGAGUGUCAACUGGAGAAGGCCCUCAUUGCAGUUAUGAAUUUCCUGGAACUCAGGACAACUGAAGCACUAGUUUUCAAGGACUUCAAUGUGGGUGAUUGGCAAGAGGGGGUGUAUUGAAAGAUAUAAAUAAUGAAGGAGAUGUACAUUCCUGAUUUAAUGAAAUGCACCAAGAAAUUGCGGCACAAUGGAGUUGAGGAAUCAGCUUCAGAUAUAGCAAUACAAUCUCAGUCACAACCCUAGGCACCCACUCUAGUAUUGGCACCUUGGUGCACACUAUCCUCUUGAUGCAUUUCUUUAUAUCUUUGAGUGAAUUUACUUGUUUUGAAUCGGGUUUUAAAAUCUUUGUUCCAUCAAAAUAAUGUCAAUUGCUUUCAAAACUUCAUCCUUAGAAAAUAAAAUUCAGUUUAAAUAAAGGCUUGCCGCCAUAUUUCACUCUGGCAUGCACUUUUUCUUAUUUUCUUUUAAUGAUUUUCUCGAUCUUCUCAAUUUUAAAUAAACAUAAAUAAAUUCUCUAAAUUCCAAAAAUAAUGGAAUUCAUCUAGAUUUCUAUGAUCUUCCAUCCAUUAUCAUUAGCAAGACUGAAAUUUUGCGCAAUUAAUUCAUGUAAAUACUUCUUAGGUAAGUUUCCUCCGUAUUCCCUAUUCCAUCCCAUUUCGCACUGUUCUUUAUUAUUCUCUUUUAUGUUUGGGUGUUUUUUCUUCACUGCAUGUAUGUACUAGAAAAUUUAUUUCCAAUCCGUUGAUUUCUUUGUUUGUUUGUGAUCUUGAUGUUGUGUUAUCUAUUACUCGUUUCUUUAAUUUCAUCUCAGAAUAAUUUUAUUUCCGUUAAAGUACAUUGUGUCUUAUGAGGUAAUUUUCCAUUCUGGUUUUUACAUCCAAUCUCUACUCCUUUCCCCACCUUCAAUAAGCAUAAGGGGAGAAUUUUCAGGUUUCUCGGGAGCAAGAGAAGUGUAUUGGGAAAUACUUCUCGGGUAAGUUUACUCCGUAUUCCCUAUUCUCUCCCAUUUCUCAUUGUUCAUCAUUUUUCUCUUUUAUGUUUGGGUGUUAUUUGAUGUUGCAUUUUCUAUUACUCAUUUCUUUAGUUUCAUAUCAGAAUAAUUUGAUUUCCUUUCAACAACAUUAUGCCUUAUGAGGUAAUUUUUUUAUUUUGGUUUUUACAUCUAAUGUCGAUUCCUUUCCCUAUCUUCCAUAAUCAUAAGGGUGGAAUUCUCAGGUUUCCCGGGGAGGAGAGAAGUUUAUUUGGAAAUAGUUCUUGGGUAAGUUUCCUCCGUUUUCCUUCUUCUCUAAAAUUUGGCAAUGUUCUUCAUUUUUCUCUUGUAUGUUUGGGUGUUAUAUGUCGACUGUAUGUGUGUACUAGAAAAUUAUUUUUCAAUCCGUUGAUUUCUUUGUUUGUUUUUUAUCUUGAUGUUGCGUUGCCUAUUCCUCAUUUCUUUAGUUUCGUAUCAGAAUAAUUUUAUUUUCUUCCAACGACAUUGUGCCUUAAGAGUUAAUUUUCUUAUUCUCGUUUUUACAUUUGAUCUCUACUCCUUUCCCUACCUUUUAUAUGUGUUAAGGUGGAAUUUUCAGGUUUCCCAGGGACAAGAGAAGUUUAUUUGGAAAUACUUCUCAGGUAAGUUUCCUCUGUAUUCCCUAUUCUCUUCCAUUUCGCACUGUGCUUCAUUUUUUUCUUUUAUAUUUGCGUUUUAUUUGUUGACUGCAUGUAUGUAUUAGAUAAUUAAUUUUCAAUCAUUUGAUUUAUUUGUUUGUUUGAGAGCUUGAUGUUGCAUUUUCUAUUACUCAUUUCUUUAGUUUCGUAUCACAAAAGAGCAAUAAUGUUCACAAGAACUCAAAAACACUUUUUUUAAUGGCAGUUUGCACAGUAGCAGAAAGAAGUUCCCGUUGCCUAAUGACACCACUACUCUAUUUCAUUCUGAAUGCGUAAGCUGGUCUCUCUUGAUGCCAAGAAAAGCUCGCUGUUGGUGGAGUCUUCAAUGCACAUAUCAAUGCUUUGGUUAGGAUUUUCUUCAGGGAUGAUGCAGGAUAGCAAUUGUUGUGAAGAAUUCUCCUUUGCAAAUAUCACAAUCCAAGUAUGUAAAGAUUUGAGGGGGGGGUUAAUCUAUCUUCUGCACUUGAAUUUUGAAAAUAGUUGUCUAAGCUUCCAGGGUUGCUUGAGUGUUUCUUUGCUAGCAGUGAAACUAAUGAAAUGGGAUGAAGAUAUUUUCGGUCUUGAGUAUGGCCUGGCUCUGUUCAAUAUUGUGGUUGUUCCAGAUUUUGACAUGGAACCCGUGGAAAAAAAAAGUUCGAAUAUUUUCAAUCCCAAGCUUGUCUUGGCAUCUCCACAAAGUGCUGCAGUUGCAGAUUAUACAGCAAUUUUGGGGAUUAUUGAUCCUGAGUAAUCCUAGAACUGGACUAGUUCUAGCUCAGUGUAAAGGAAGGUCUUACAGUUUUCCAUAAUCAGGAAUUUUCAUGUAACUUGAGAAUUUGUGCAGUAAAGGGAAUUGCUGAUGUUUCAAGGCUUCAAUAUUAUCAAUUUUUGUAGGAUGCUGGUGCCCAGUUUUAGUCUCUGCUCCAUAUUAAACCAUACCAAAAGUUGUCAGAGACUGAAAUAGAAAUCCUGUGCCUUCUACUGGAGGACUGUGCUGCACAUGCUUCAUCAGCUGGCAAGAAGUGGUACUGGAGAAAAUGAAGAAAUGGCCUGGAGGUCUCUUGAGAAUCUUCUCAAGUGAAAUGCAGAGUUCUUUGCAGAUAUGGACUGCAUGAAAUAUUGGUCUAAUCAUUCUCAAGGUUUUGCCCAAUGCAUCAGAGCCAGUUUUGCAGUUGUCAAAUAUUUGACUGAGAAAGGGUUAAAAACCAAUAGCACUCAAUGGUGAUAGCAGUAAAGGCUUCUGCCUUGUUUGACGAUUCACGGUGGUUUUGCAUCACUUCUUAAUGGAGGGUUAUGUCCAACUCUGCAAAAGCCAUGAUGAUGUCCAGAGUGAUUUACUUGCUUGAUGAUUUGGUUCUUUGAGUCUUAUCACUUUAGUCAUCGGAUGGCAUGACUUUAGAAGCUGAGACAGCUUUUGGGACUGUCACUCGACAUUCUUGGCAAUAUCUGAAGGGACUCGAAACCAUUACAAACAGUCCCUUCAAUUUUCGUAGUGGGCUCAAUGGCUAGUGAUGACGGAUUGGAUGAGAAUGAGGAACUCUCAGCAGAAUUUGUUCCAUUGGCCCUUAGGUCAUCAUUUGGAAGAACCAGCAUUGUAGAUACAUCAGCAAAGUUCACUCUUUCUAAGACUCUCGGUAAAGCAAAGCUAUUCGAUCAGAAUUCUCUAUUUCUAUUAAUUCUGAUGAAGAGGCACACCAAAUUCCUACAAGUCUUCUUUCAGAUUCAAUCCGCCUUCGUCCUUGUCUCAUACUUGGUUGCUGACAAAAGUGUGCUUUUUGUGGUCCUAUUACCACAAAAGUUAUUUCUUGAUUCGGAAUAUGGAAGUUGAUGAAUUUAUUAAUCCCCCUACACCCAGUGAUUCUGCUUGUGAAUGUGAGAGCAAUGAAUUUCAUAAUUCCAAUUCGGAGCCUAUUGAAGCAAAUUCCAGUUCUAGAAAUUCUGAGAUUAAAGAAGACAAACUGACAAUAUGGGUACCACUCUCUAGCUUCCACACUAACAACUCAUUUCCAUCCACUCCUAGGCAAUGCUGAUCAAGUUCGAGUUGGAAAGGCCUUAAAGCAAAUGCCAAGGAAAGAAGCUCAAGUAGCUGCAAAGUUUGGUUAUGAAAGAAUGCAACCUAUGUUAGUAAAAAGGUACUCCAGAAUGUGUGCGCAUCUGCUAUGAGGCUAGCCUGAAGGGUCUUGAUGUUGAAUAUGUUGAUUUGUAUUAUCAGCAUCAUGUAGAUACAUCAGUACCUAUGGAGGUUCAAGUGGGGUCUAUCAGGAAUUGCCCAGGUCACAAGCACCAGUUGAGGGAUGAACAACAAGCAACUUGGAGAACAGAAAUACUGUGCUAUUUAUAUACAUAUAUAUAUACUGGCAAUGUUACUGCCUAGUAGUCAUAUGCAUACUUCACAGUAAAUGAUCUUUCUGAAUUAGUCCCUAAGACCUGCAAGAGGAAAAGGUAGAGUAUAAGGCUGUAUUCCACGACUUUUUUUUAGGGGCCUCCAGAUUCAUUAUUCAUUUACCGGACAUUUCUCAUGGGGUGCUCCAUUUAUCUUGCUCCAAGAAAAGAUUAUGGAGGAAUCAAAGAAGCGGGAGCGGAGGGAUUCAAACAGGUUGUUGAAUGAGAUCAACCAGCUGGAGAGUUGUUCUUGCCUAGCAGCCUUCAGCUUUACAUCGAUGAUAACUAUAACUUAGAGUUUUUAUCAGAAAGCUUCUAGUCACUUGAACUCAGAUGUGAUCUUAAAUCCUGGGAACAACAGGUAUCCUCUACUUGAUUCUAAGGGAAAUUUGAUUGGAAUUGACGCAGCAAUAUUUACUCAUACAGGUAGAGGCCGAUCACUCGCAAAUUCAUACUGGUGAAGGAGUUUUUGGAAAAUAUGUCUUGUUGGAGCUGGUCCUGAUGGGAAACACAGCCAUGGAAGCAGUCACAAUAGUUCUCAAUCUACCUCCAUCACUACCUGGUUCAACGUCAAGAGUUACAUUGAUUGAUAGGGUAUCAGCAUCUGAUCCAAAGUCAGCUUUAGCAUUACAGAGAUCAAUCUAGGUAGAUGUAUGGUUUCUUGGAGAAAAUGCCAAUUAUGCUGUUUCUGAACCCACGGAACUGCAUUGAUGAUGUUAGAUGUAGAUAAAAUGGUCGCUGCUACAGGUUCUCAUGACCCUACUAUGGCUAGUGCAUAUUUCAGCAUGAUGGAUUAUCUCAGUGGUGUUGUCCGCAAGUCUCAAUCUGAAGGACUCGGGAAAUAUCAGGAGCCUGCCCAACCAAAAGAACCCAUCAAGCCAAAGCACAAAGCCAAACCAAAUAGAGCUCGCUUCAAAAGCAAGGCGCACAAGAAGAAAUUCCCUGGAAACAAGGUAGGCACUAAUCGAGUUGAAGAUGCAAGUAGCAUGGGGGUUGAUAUGGAUAAUCAAGUGGGGAUUAUGCCUUGAUUGACAAACUAAUUGGUAACUGUUAAUCUCUCCCGAGCUGACAAAAAUCCCUUGCCAGAAUUGGACUUCCUUUCUAACUUACCAUGCUGGAAUCCCUGGUAAGACUUGGCAAGCCUGAAGAAACUGAGAAAGUGCCAAAUGAAUCAGAAUCAUUUAGCAACUAUUAUGAUCUUCGGGUACCAAACAUUGGUCUACACUUGUCUCGGAUGUAUGCUUGGACGGUCCAGCUGUAAACUGGUCAAGCAUACAGAACACGGUGAAAUAUGAAUGCUGGUUAUGGAGGUGUUACAGCAGCAGUUAAUUUUAGGAGAUAUCUUUCUGUUAUAAUAGUAUAGCUGUCUUGGGAAGACCAUUCCGGUUUCGUAAUCCUAGAAGGAGUUGCAAUGCCUGUCAAAAGAAAUUCAGAAUAACAGCAGCACCAUCAACACCAUCAGAAAUGCAAUUUCAGCCACACUCCCAGGCCCCACUCCAGCAUGGUCACCUUGGUGCACACCAUUCUCCUUUUAGUGCUAUUUCUUUUAUUUUUCCUUAUGAUCUUAUAUGUUUUGAAUUAGGUUUUCAAACUUCCUUUUUUCCAUUCAAAUAAUCUUGGCUUUUUAAAAUUUCAUCUUUAGAAAAUGAAAAUUUGAUUUGAAUAAACUUUUAGUUGCCGAAUUUCUAGCAUGCAUCUUCUUAUUUUCUCUGAUUUUUUUCACUAAUUUUCUCAUUUUUCUCUUUUUUUUUUUAAUCAUGAAAAUCUUAAUGAUUCCAAAAAUAAUGGAAUUCAUAGCAUCAAUUCAUGCAAAAAUGAAUUGGGCCUUGGUGGGGGUCCGACAUCUAUGAUAUUUUCUUCGAUAACAAUUCAAGAGAUGUUAGUUUGAUGUUCGAUUGACAUUGUCCCACUUUGUGAUACGUCUGAGAUUGUUCAAUACCUAUUGAUGAACUAACCUAGUUUCCCAUUGAAGUGCUAGACUUGCUGCCCAGGUUUGCUCUCUACCUUUCACUUUCAAAAUUCCAUAAAUAUGCAAAUCAUUGUGAGCUAUAUCCAUGUUUGAUGUUGUCCUUGAUUCCUUGAUGUUUAUUUGAUAAAAUGUAUGUUGUGUGCUUUAUUUUUUGAACUAACUGUGAUGUCUUGUGAUAACGCUUGAGAAGUAGUCUAGGUACACCCUAACUCUUCUUUAUGAUUGCGAUUUAAAUUCUUAAUUGACAUGUUAGUGUUAGUAGAAUUUUAAAAUCACCUUAGCCCUUCUUGGUAUCCUAAGUCAAUCCGUUAAUUCUCAUAUUUCUCUCAACCUAAUUAGUAGAGACCUUUUUAAGGCUUAGAGGGGUGCUACCUCUUUGAGGUACCUUCCUAAUAGGUAACCUAAUCCCCGAACCAAGACUCGGGCUUUUCGAAGACAUGCUUUUCUGUGAAAAAGAAUGAUUAAUUUAUUCAGAAGUAAUUCAAGGUAUAGGUCUAGGCUCAAAUAAAUACAACUACUAUUACAAAAUGAAAAGAGAAAUUACCCUAUAAAUCCCUACAAAUCAAGGAUUGCUAUCAAUAUAGUUGACUAUACAUGGGAUUCUAUAUUUACGUACUUUUCUAAACUAAAAAUAAAUCCCAUAAUUGUGUCUUUCUAACACUCCCCCUCAAGCUGGUGAAUAGAUAUUUUCCAUUCCCAGCUUGCUCAUGAUUGCUUGGAAUAUGGUACUUGCUAGCCCUUUUGUUAAAAUAUUUGCUAGUUAACCCCCUAUAGGCACAUAAAGUGUGCAGAUCAAGCCACUAUCUACUUUUUCUUUGACAAAGUAUUUGUCAACCUCAAUAUGUUUUUUCCGAUCAUAUUGCACUGGAUUAUAGGCGAUGCUAAUAGCUGAUUUGUUGUCAUAGUAAAGCCUCAUUGGUUCGUCCCGUCUAAUCUUCAAAUCAUCAAGAAUAAUCUUCAAUCAUAACAACUCACAUACACCAUGUACCAUUGCUCUAAAUUCAGACUCAGCACUAGACCUUGUAACCACAGUUUACUUCUUGCUCCUCCAAGUGACUAGGUUUCCACCAACGAAAGUACAAUAUCCCGAUGUUGACCUCUUGUUUACCACCAAGUCUACAUAGUCUGCAUCUGUGUAGGCUUCAAGGGUUCGUUUAGUUCCCUUUUUGAAGAGAAUACCCUUCCCUGGAGAAGACUUUGGAUAAUGAAAGAUCCUAUGAACAGCUUGUAGAUGAGUCUCCUUCAAGCUAUGCAUGAAUUGGUUUAUGACCCCCACUAUGUAAGCAAUAUUUGGCCUUGUAUAGGAGAGAUAAAUGAGCCUUCCAAUGUGCCUCUAGUGCAUCCCCUUGUCCACGGCCUCGUCUUCACUUGCUUCUGUAGUUAGGUGAUUCUGUUCAAUAGGCAUUUCAACAGGUUUACAAGCGAGUUUCCCUGUCUCUUUCAACAAAUCCAACAUGUAUUUGUGUUGGGAGAUAAAUAUUGCUCUCUUGGAGUAAGCCACUUCAAUUCUAAGAAAGUAUUUAAGCUUGCCAAGGUCUUUGAUCUCAAAUUCAUUUGUCAAUUGACAUCUUAGAGCUUCUCUUUCCUUUAAAUCAUUCCUGGUCACAAUUAUGUCAUCCACAUAAACUAACAAAGUCGUGACUACCCCCAACUUCGAGUGGUUAAUAAAGAGAGUGUGAUCACCUUGACUUUGGUUAUACCCCAUUAUCGUCAUAGCUUUAGAGAAUCUGCCGAACCAAACCCCUAGGGAUUGUUUAAGUUCGUAAAGGGCCUUCUUCAAUUUACACACCCUUUUUUCUCUCAACUCACCUCCAAAACCAGGUGGGAUUUCCAUGUAAAUUUUCUCUUAAAGAUCACCAUAUAAUAAUGCAUUUUUCACAUCAUAUUGAUGCAACUCCCAAUCAUAAUUAGCAACUAGAGACAACAAAAUCAUUACCAUAUUCAUUUUUGCUACGGUGCAAAGGUCUCCUGAUAAUCCACCCCAUAUGUUUGAGUGUAGCCUUUUGAAACUAACCGAGCCUUAUACCUCUCAAGUGAUCCAUCUACCUUAUACUUCAGUAAAGACCGACUUACAUCCCACAAGGCUCUUUCCUUGAGGCAGGUCAACCAAUUUCCAAGUUUUGCUUUUCUCAAGUGUCUCCAUUUACACUCGCAUAGCUUGUUUCCAUUCCUCACUGUUUAGAGCUUUGGAUAGAGUGCUAGGGAUGGAUAUAUGUUUAGUCUCAUGAGGAAGCUUUUAUGAGAAGGUGACAAGUUCUUGUAUGACACAAAAUGAGACAAUGGGUAGAGUGGAUGCUUGGUGAAUUUUGGGUAGAUCAUGGUCAAGACUAUCAAGAGGUGCAAGUGAAUUUUCAGAAGUAGGGUCAGAAAUGGUGUUACCCUUUUUCCCUUUUUUUUUUUUUUUUUUUUUUUUUUUUUUUUUUUUCGGGGCUGGUUCGAACUCGUGGGCUUGUAAGAGGUCAGGAAUGUGUGCAUUCCUCCUUGAAUGCACCUGCAAAGGUCAUGUGGGACCAGGGAUUUCCUUUACCUUAGUCGAAUACUUUGAAUUUUCAUUCAAAGGUUGAGACUCAAGUUCUUAGAUCGGGACAACAUGUGGAUUUGGAGACUCAGACUCUUGAGUUGGACCGGAUUGAGACUUGAGUUGAACAGACCCCAGAAGAAAGCUCCAACAAAAACAAAUCUCGAUCCUUAUCUUCCAUCAAUGAUGUCUCCCCCUAAAGAUAAGGAGUGGGAAAAUAUGGUUCAUUCUCGAAAAAGGUGACAUCAACAAACACACGAAAUUUCCUCGUAGGAGGAUGAUAACAUUUGUAACCUUUUUUAGUAGAGGAAUAUCCCAUAAAGGCAUCUAAUAGCUCUUAAAACAAAUUUUCCCUAGUUUUGAGCAUGAACAUGGACAAAUGAUACACAACCAAAGAUUCGAGGAACAAGGUUAUUGGAGGUAGUGAAGUUCAGGUAGAAUUUAGAAAAGACUUCCAUAGGACUUUUGAACCCCAACACACUCAAAGGUAAUCGGUUUAUAAAGUGGGUAGUUGUGAGGACCUCUCCCCAGUACGUCUUUAGCACAUUGUUUUGAAACAAAAAAGCUCAGGUUGACGCUAGCAAAUGACCAUUCUUCCAUUCAACGACCCCAUUUUGUAAUGGAGUGCUUAAACAAGAAGACUCAUGAAUGAUUCCCUCUUUUUGAAAGUAAGUGGAUAAGACCUAAUUAAAGUAAUCAUGAGCAUUAUUAGACCUAAAUCCUUUUAUUGCCACACCAAACUGAUUUUUUACCAUGCUAUGAAAAAUUGGGAACACAGUAUUGACAUCAGAUUUUUGUUUCAUAAGAUAGAGCUAAGUAACAUGAGUGCAAUCAUCAAUAAAGGAAACAAAUCAACGAGUGCCAAAAACAUUGGGAAUUGUUGAAUAUAAUGUAUUUAUAGUAUAUUAUCUUUCCUUGUUAAUAUAGGUCACAUGUAUGGUAGUUAGGACUCCUAGCCUUGUAUAUAUAUAUCUCUCAAUUGUAAGUAGAAAAUACAUGAAUGAGAAUUAAGGUUUUUCUCCUUUCUCUCUCUCUCUCAACAUGGUAUCAGAGCCAAAGGAGAAAACCUAAUUUUUUUUUCGGUUUAGCCGUGUAAUCAAUUCCAGCGAACUGUCCAGUGACCGUGUUUCACUCCGGUCCCCUCACUUUCUUCCCAAACCACUCCGGACAACCUCAUCGCCGUCGGAUCUCCACCACGCCGGCAACCUUUUCCGGCGAACUUUCCGGCGAACUUUCCCGGCGACGUCUUUUUCCUACACCGACCACACCAAGAGGAGAGCGCCUGGAGGAGAUCUCCAACUUCUUCAAAAGCAUCGGAGCCAAAAAACCCUCCACGCGCUGGCCACGCGCACUUCUCCGGCCGGCGCGUGAGGGCGCGUGAGACCUUUUCCGGCGACGCGCCUCCUCCUCCAGCCUCGCCUGACGCCGACCAGCAUCCCUACCUACCUGGUUUUCCCAUCCGAGCCCUGCACGUACCUCUUUUGGGGAUUUUUGUCUCCGUCAGCCCUCCAAACAGCCUUUCCGGCGAAGUUCCGACUACUUUUUCUCCACCCCAAUCCCUGCACGUGCCUUGGGAAGUGUUCUUCUACCCUUCUGGUGGUACCACGUCGCGAUCUGAGGCCGUCUCCCUUUUUCGGUGGUGCCACGCCGCAAUCUGAAGCCGUAUUAGGGCUCUCUUCGAUCCAAAUACGUGAAUAUGACCACCAACAAUCAGAUCUUUACCUCUGUUAUCUUUGGAUCUCCUAUGAUUACCUCAGAGAAAUUGGUUGGCAGUGAGAAUUAUCGCUCCUGGUCUGCCUCUGUUGAACUUUGGUUUAUGGGUCAAGGAUAUGAGGAUCACUUGGUUACCCAGGAGGUAGAUAUUCCUGAGGUUGACCGCGUACAGUGGAGGAAGAUAGAUGCACAGUUAUGUAGUGUAUUAUGGCAAUCGGUUGAUCCCAGGAUUCUUCUUCAUCUUCAGGCCUAUAAAACUUGUUUUAAAUUUUAGACUCAGGCCAAAGGAUUAUACACAAAUGAUAUCCAGCGUCUUUAUAAGGUGGCUUCUGCUAUUGUCCAUCUCAGCCAACAGGACUUGGAUCUAUCUACUUAUAUUGGUCAGAUUGCCUCUCUUAAGGAGGAGUUCUUGACUGUGAUGCCUCUUACUCCUGAUGUUGGGGCUCAACAAACACAGCUUGACAAGUUCUUCAUGGUCCUACCCUUAUUGGCCUCCGUCCGGAUCUUGAGUCUAUUCGUGAUCAGAUUCUUGGAAGUUCAUCAGUUCCGUCCUUGGAUGAUGUGUUUGCUCGCCUCCUCCGUAUCUCGUCCACUCAGACUUUGCCAUCUGAUAGCGCUUCAGAUUCUUCUGUGUUAGUUUCUCAAACUACCUCUCGAGGAGGACGCAGUGGUACCCGAGGUAGAGGCCAACGUCCUCAUUGCACCUAUUGCAAUAAACUUGGCCACACUCGCGAUCGUUGCUAUCAGUUACAUGGAAGACCUCCUCGCACUGCCCAUAUGGCCCAGUCCUCUGAUUCUCCGCUGCCUCAGCCUCCGAGCUCCUCCGCAUCUCAGACAUCUCAGGCUUCUAUUGCCUCUGUUGCCCAGCCUGGUAAUGCCUCUGCCUGCCUUACCCACACAUCUUCUCUUGGACCCUGGAUUCUAGAUUCUGGAGCAUCUGAUCACCUAUCUGGUAAUAAGGAUCUUUUCUCCUCUAUUACUACUACCUCUGAUUUACCUACUGUUACCUUAGCUAAUGGUUCUCAGACUGUGGCUAAAGGUAUUGGUUUGGCCCUUCCUCUGCCUUCUCUACCUCUCACUUCUGUCCUUUAUACUCCUGAAUGUCCUUUUAAUCUUAUUUCCAUCAGCAAAAUCACUCGUACUCUUAAUUGCUCUAUUACCUUUUCUGAUAAAUUUGUGACCUUGCAGGACCGGAGUACGGGGAAGACGAUUGGCAUAGGACGUGAGUCUCAAGGCCUCUAUCACCUCACCUCAGAUUCAUCUCCUGCAGUUUGCAUUUCCACUGAUGCUCCUCUCCUCAUUCACAAUCGUCUGGGCCACCCUAGUCUCUCCAAGUUCCAGAAGAUGGUUCCUCGUUUUACCACUUUGUCGUCGCUUCCGUGUGAGUCAUGUCAGCUUGGGAAACAUACUCGUGUCUCGUUCCCAAAGCGUUUGAAUAAUCGGGCAAAGUCUCCUUUUGAGCUUGUCCACACUGAUGUUUGGGGUCCUUGUUGGACUGCGUCUACUUUAGGAUUUCAGUAUUUUGUCACUUUCAUUGAUGACUAUUCUCGAUGUACUUGGUUAUUUUUAAUGAAAAAUCGAGCUGAGUUAUUCUCUAUUUUCCAGAAAUUUUAUACUGAAAUCCAAACCCAUUUCAAUAUUUCUAUUCGUGUGUUACGCAGUGACAAUGCCUGGGAAUAUUUUUCAGCCCAAUUUACUUCGUUUAUGUCUCAUCAUGGAAUUCUUCAUCAGUCUUCUUGUGCUCAUACUCCUCAACAAAAUGGGGUAGCUGAACGCAAGAAUCGACAUCUUGUUGAGACAGCUCGUACUCUCCUCCUCCAUAGUCACGUUCCUUUUCGUUUUUGGGGGGACGCUGUUCUUACCGCUUGUUAUUUGAUUAAUCGUAUGCCCUCCUCUGUCUUACACGAUCAGAUUCCUCACUCCCUUCUCUUCCCUGACCAACCACUUUAUUUCCUUCCUCCUCGUGUCUUUGGUUGUACUUGCUUUGUUCAUAUUCUCACUCCUGGACAGGACAAGCUUUCCGCCAAAGCCAUGAAGUGCCUCUUCUUGGGAUAUUCCAGACUUCAGAAGGGUUAUCGUUGUUAUUCCCUUGAGACUCAUAGAUACUUUAUCUCCGCUGAUGUCACCUUCUUUGAGGACUCACCAUUCUUUUCCACCACUUCUGAGUCUCUUCCUGUUUCUGAAGUUUUGCCCAUUCCCAUUGUCUCCCCACCUGAUGCUAUGCCCCCUCGACCACUUCAGGUUUAUCAUCGUCGCCCUCAUGUCGUUGCUCCUCUCCCUUUUCCUGAGGCACCUGCUGACUCACUUCCUAUCCCUUCGGCUUCACCUGCCCCGGCUCUGCCUUCUCCUAAUGACUUACCCAUUGCUGUUCGGAAAGGUACUCGCUCUACUCGUAAUCCUCAUCCUAUUUACAAUUUUUUGAGUUAUCAUCGCUUAUCUUCACCCUAUUCUGCUUUUGUUUCUGCUAUAUCCUCUGUUUCUCUUCCAAAGAGCACCCAUGAAGCUCUUUCCCAUCCAGGCUGGCGACAGGCAAUGGUGGAUGAAAUGGCUGCUCUGCACUCUAAUAGCACUUGGGAUCUUGUUGUUUUACCCUCUGGUAAAUCUACAGUUGGUUGUCGUUGGGUCUAUGCCCUUAAGGUUGGUCCUGAUGGUCAGGUUGAUCGCCUUAAGGCCCGCUUAGUUGCUAAAGGCUAUACUCAAGUUUAUGGUUCUGAUUAUGGUGACACAUUCUCCCCUGUUGCCAAGAUUGCUUCUGUCCGCUUGCUUCUCUCCAUGGCUGCUAUGUGUUCUUGGCCUUUUUAUCAGUUGGAUAUUAAAAAUGCCUUCCUUCAUGGUGAUCUUGCCGAGGAAGUUUAUAUGGAGCAACCUCCUGGUUUUGUUGCUCAGGGGGAGUCUGGUUUAGUGUGCAGGUUACGCCGUUCUCUAUAUGGCUUGAAACAAUCUCCUCGAGCAUGGUUUAGCCAUUUUAGUUCUGUUGUUCAAGAGUUUGGCAUGCUUCGCAGUACAGCAGACCAUUCAGUUUUUUAUCAUCAUAACUCCUUGGGGCAGUGUAUUUAUCUGGUUGUUUAUGUGGACGACAUCGUCAUUACAGGCAGUGAUCAGGAUGGUAUUCAAAAACUAAAGCAACAUCUUUUUACCCACUUUCAGACCAAAGACUUGGGGAAACUCAAGUAUUUCUUGGGAAUUGAGAUAACUCAAUCCAAUUCUGGUGUGGUCCUUUCCCAAAGGAAGUAUGCUUUAGACAUCCUAGAAGAAACCGGUAUGUUAGACUGUAAACCGGUAGACACACCUAUGGAUCCGAAUGUCAAACUUGUACCAGGACAGGGGGAGCCUUUAGGAGACCCUGGGAGAUAUCGACGGCUCGUAGGUAAAUUGAACUAUCUAACCAUUACUCGUCCAGACAUUUCUUUUCCUGUGAGUGUUGUUAGUCAAUUCCUAUAGUCACCAUGUGAUAGCCAUUGGGAUGCCGUAAUCCGUAUUCUUCGAUAUAUCAAAAGUACACCAGGCUAAGGUGUAUUGUACGAGAACAGAGGUCAUACUCAAGUUGUUGGUUACACAGAUGCAGAUUGGGCUGGCUCACCCACAGAUAGACGUUCCACUUCAGGGUACUGUGUUUUUAUUGGAGGUAAUCUAAUAUCUUGGAAGAGUAAGAAACAAGAUGUAGUGGCCAGAUCUAGCGCUGAAGCCGAGUAUCGAGCUAUGGCUUUGGCAACAUGUGAACUCAUAUGGUUGAGACAUCUUCUUCAGGAGUUGAGAUUUGGAAAGGAUGAACAGAUGAAACUCAUCUGUGAUAACCAGGCCACAUUACAUAUUGCAUCCAAUCCAGUCUUUCAUGAAAGGACCAAGCAUAUUGAAGUUGACUGUCAUUUCAUUAGAGAGAAGAUCGCAUCAGGAUGUGUUGCUACAAGUUUUGUUAAUUCAAAUGAUCAACUAGCAGACAUCUUCACUAAAUCUCUCAGAGGUCCUAGGAUUAAAUAUAUUUGUAACAAGCUUGGUGCAUAUGACGUAUAUGCUCCAGCUUGAGGGGGAGUGUUGAAUAUAAUGUAUUUAUAGUAUAUUAUCUUUCCUUGUUAAUAUAGGUCACAUGUAUGGUAGUUAGGACUCCUAGCCUUGUAUAUAUAUAUCUCUCAAUUGUAAGUAGAAAAUACAUGAAUGAGAAUUAAGGUUUUUCUCCUUUCUCUCUCUCUCUCAACAGGAAUAGUAGAGGGACCCUAGAUAUCACUAUGAAUGAACGAGAAUUGAACAAAAGCUCUACUAUUACUGAUGGCGAAAGGUACACAAUGAUGUUUGGAAAAUUCAUAAAUAUCACAAUGAAGACUUUCCACAUAAAUUCCUUUGAACAAUAAUGGGAACAAAAUUGUCAAAGCACUAAAAGACGGAUGACCUAAACUACGAUGAUGUAGCCAAAUUUUAGCUUUAUUGGAAACAAUUUUAGAAAUAAACGACCUAGGUAAAUUAUUCUUAGUCUUACUUGGAUAGCUUGAUGCUUCAAGGUAGUACAACCCAUACUUUUCUCUUGCACGUCCAAUCAUCUUGCCUGAGUCCCAGUCCUGAAAAACACAAUGAGUAUGGUGAAAAAUGACACUACAAUUCAUGUCCUAUGUAAGUUUAUGGAUUGAAACCAAAUUGGUAGACAAUUUAGGAACAUGUAAAACAUUUUUCAACACAAGGGAAUGAUGUAUUUUAAUUUCACCUUGACCGGCAACAAUGGUCAAUGACCCAUCUGCCAAUGCAAUCUUUUUAUUACUAGGACAUGGACUGUAGGUACUAAAUUUGAGGGAAGAAUUUGUCAUGUGUUUUGUUGCUUUUGAGUCAAUGAUCCAAGAGUUUGGAAAAUUAAUAUUUGAAGCACUUAACGCAUGAGAGAUAAGAGACUUACUUGCGAGUGCCAAUGAGUAAGCACCCGAGGGUUUUUCCAAUGUUCCCAACAAGCUUCUCAGUUUCUCAAUCUCUUCUUUGUUAAACUCUCCAGUGUCUUGGGAACUUUCCUCACCUGGUUGAGUAGCAAAAAGAUGAGCCUGCUCCUAAUUACUUUGUUGUUCACCUUUACUGUUUCAGUUCUUUUCAUGGCCUGGUUUUUUUUAUAGUAAUUACACCAAUGAAUAUCUUUGUCAUCUGCUUUGGACAAAUUUGCCUUGCCAUUCCCGUAGUUGGAAACCUGAUUUGAUCCACCAUUGGAAAGCAUUGUCGGAUUCCCGUUCGAGACCAUUAUUGAGCUAUCUGCUGCUUGGGAUUCAAUCAUCAUCCCUGCCUAAGACUUGGCUUCGUUUAUGAUCAUAUUCCACAUUGAGGCUAGCAAGAAACUCAAAGAUUCUCUCUUUCUCCACAAAUCUCUUAAGCAAGGCUACAUCCUCACUGCACAUCAUCUUAAGGCAUUGACAAUGAUGCAAUUCUUGCCAUAGUGUAGACCCUCCAUUUUGUCCCUUUAGCACAUGUCUUUAAGUUCACUUCCAGUGUUCCACAAUGGUCUACUGAUGGCCCAUUACUACUCGUGUAGCUUACCUUUUCUGAGCCACCUCGGAGACUUUAGUUGAGGGGUUUAUCCGGCUCCAUAUUAUGAGCUUGGCUACCCUUCAAGUUUAGAUUAGGCUUCACUUAGGUGCACUUUAGGUUAGACUUAGUUAGGCCCACCAAGUCUCGCUUUAGGCCUGUCUAGGUUCACUUAAGCCCUCUUAGGCACACUUGGCCUAUUAGACUUUUUUUAACGUUUCUUGCAUGACUCACGUAGUCGCAUGACUUACAUGACCCGCAUAGGAUUGACCAUUUUAUUUUAUUAUUUUGUUUUACUUUAUUUAUUUAUUUUAUUUUACUUUAUUCUUUUAUAUGUUGCAACAUUGCUAACUCUUCUUUGGUUUUAUUCUUUCUAUUUUCGUUUUUAUUGUUUGACAAGAGAAUGGGGGUUGUUGAUCAACUCUCACUAAGGCACAUGCACUCAAAGAAUGUAAAAAAAAUAUUUUUGGAGGGAAAAUAGGAUUAAUGUAGCUGCAUACAUAUGGAAAGAGGAGAUCCUACAUAGAAAGAGAGAAGCAUUCUAAUUUUCGGAAAGAAAGGGAAAUAAAAGAAAGGAAAGUGGAUUUCCUUCAGCAGAUUGAAUUUUUGGGAGGCUGAUACAAAUACAUAAAAAAAAUGACGAAUUGAAGAAAGGAAAGGGGGGAUUUUCCUUUUUGGAACAGAUUUAGGUUUUGGGGGCUGAUAUAUAUAUGUGAGAAUGGAUGUUGGAGAGGGAGAUUCUUUGAUUGUCUUGGUGGAAAAGCACACAAGAGUGGGAAAGGGGUGAUUGCAGCCAAGGUUCUUCCAGGUACGUUUCUGGCUAUUCUCGGAAUUCUUACUCAUGUUCGAUUUCUCCAUGUGUUUGUUUCUGAAUAUUAAAUAAACUGUUGAUUGGUGUGGACGUUAAGGGCCACAAGUUGUUCUGCUGAGAUUGGUCGUUUACUUCUUUACCCUAUUUCGAUUUUGAUUAUUUUAUGUGUCAUUGAUGUCUUGAGAAAUAUAUAACUCCAUGCCUGAAUGUGAUCAUGCUCUGUUUUCAUUUAAAUCCUAUUCUGCAUUGUUCCUUCUGUUCUUAGCCCAUGGAUUAAUACUUGAAGUGGGGGGCUAUUUAUGUUUACUGAUCAAUAUCUUCUGCUCUUUCCUUCUCCGAGUUUUGCUUCGUUUUUUUUUAUUUGUUCUAUAUUCCUUUCCCCACACGGUGUUCGAAUCCUUGCCUUUGUAUUUGGGUGUACAUUGGGGAAUGACGGAAGUGUCGAUAUGAGGGAUGAGGUGUGCAGAAAUCCCACUCAAAUGUUGGAUAACUGAUUCCGAGGUAUUGUAGUGGACAGUGGAGACUGGAGGUAGCAUCCCAUUGGCAUCAGAUUUGGCUUUUCUAACCCUAUAGGACUCAAUGGCCCAUACAGAAUCGCAUCUCCUGGAGUUAUCUGCAAGCGUCGAUAUGAGGGAUGAAGUGUGCAGAAAUCCCACUCAAAUAUUGGAUAACUGAUUCCGAGGUAUUGUAGUGGACUGUGGAGACUGGAGGUAGCAUCCCAUUGGCAUCAGAUUUGGCUUUUCUAACCCUAUAGGACUCAAUGGCCCAUACAGAAUCGCAUCUCCUGGAGUUAUCUGCAAGCGUAGUUAAAUGGGUUAAAGUCAAGCUAAUAUAUUCCCUUGCUUUCGAAUCAUCACAUUAUCAUCAGCCAACAUAUUGUUGAGGACAGUAAGAUAUGACGUGAAGAAAGUAAUUCACGCUGGGCUUUUCUUUAGAGAAAUAGAUUCUCCUCCACUCCUUUUAAGGGAGCUUCUGUAAAUGGUAAUGAUCCUAUCUCACGGAUGGCCAACACCACCUUUAUUUAUCCCUUCCAAUUUGUCAAGCGGUUCUGACCACAAGAAUAAUAGUCUCAGAGAAAGCAGUUUGACUUGUAAGGCAGGGCAUCAAGAAACAUAUUCAAGCACAGGAUAUUUUUGUUGGUAAUGUAGUCUGGCUUCGUGAGAAUGAAGAAGUGCCAUGUGAUCUUGUUUUAAUUGGCACCUCUGAUCCACAAAGUGUUUGCUAUGUGGAGACAGCUGCCCUAGAUGGGGAAACCGAUCUUAAGAUGAGGGUUAUAUCCUCUGCUUGCAUGAGUAUAGAUUUUGGGCUAUUGCACAAAACGAAGGGUGUUAUUGAGUGUCCCAUUCCAGAUAAGGACAUUAGAAGAUUUGAUACAAAUCUGCGUUUGUUCCCUCGGUUCAUCAAUAAUGAUCUGUCCUUUAACCAUUAAAAAAAAAAAAAACCAAUUCUUCAGUCAUGCUACUUGCGGAACACAGAGCGGGUUCGUGGGGUCGCUGUUUAUACAGGCAAUGAAACCAAGUUGGAUAUGAGUCGAGGUAUUCCUGAAUCAAAAUUAACAGCUGUAGAUGCCAUGAUUGACAAGCUAAUUGGAGCAAUAUUUGUUUUUCAAAUAUUGGUUGUCAUUGUUCUAGGCACAGCUGGGAAUGUUUGGAAAGAUACAGAAGCAGUAAAGCAAUGGUAUGUUCUAUACUCAAAGGAAGGGCCAUGGGAUGAGCUAUUGGUCAUUCCUCUACGGUUUGAGCUUCUUUGUUCAAUUAUGAUCCCCAUAUCUAUAAAGGUAUCUUUGGAUCUUGUGAGGAGCUUAUAUGCAAAGCUCAUUGAUUGGGAUAACCAAAUGAUUGACCAAGAAACGAGUGUUCCAUCCCAUGCAACAAAUACGGCAAUAAGUGAGGACUUGGGGC
This 64519-nucleotide long non-coding RNA is filed under the name Vitis vinifera (wine grape). RNAcentral's name for it is "long non-coding RNA (VVIN_LNC007241)". Lineage: Eukaryota; Viridiplantae; Streptophyta; Magnoliopsida; Vitales; Vitaceae. The record is from RNAcentral.